Molecule: long non-coding RNA, 51071 nt
Filed under: Panax ginseng (ginseng)
Lineage: Eukaryota; Viridiplantae; Streptophyta; Magnoliopsida; Apiales; Araliaceae
Description: long non-coding RNA (PGIN_LNC017308)
Source: RNAcentral
AACAAACUUCAUAAGAAGAAGUAACAUCAGUGAAUGGUUAUAAUAUUCUCAUUUUAUUCAUUUAAAUUUUUUGCAUAUGAAUUUAUGAAACACAAAUUUUGCCGGAAUUACCAUAUCACAAUCAAACCACAUUAAAGACGUGAAACGUUAAAACUUCAAACAACAAGCACAAUCCAACUUCUCGGAACAAGCAUCACACAAACAUAAUAAACACUAAAUUGUGGGGAUGUUCAUACGAUAGACAAUUAAGAAAAGAAACACUUGAAGCUGAAAUCAGACACAAUUUUUUAUUUCAGAAUUCAACACCACCACCACCACGACGGAGUCAAUUCAGAAAUCACCACCACGUAGACGCAGCACCAGGUGAAGGGUCGACUCCUUCUGAAUGUUAUAAUCCGCAAGGGUUCGCCCAUCCUCCAGCUGCUUACCAGCGAAGAUCAGCCUCUGUUGGUCUGGAGGAAUCCCUUCCUUGUCCUGGAUCUUAGCCUUGACAUUAUCGAUCGUAUCAGAACUCUCCACCUCCAAGGUGAUGGUUUUUCCGGUCAGAGUCUUCACAAAGAUCUGCAUCCCUCCCCUCAACCUAAGCACAAGGUGAAGGGUAGAUUCCUUCUGGAUGUUGUAGUCGGCAAGGGUUCGGCCGUCCUCAAGCUGCUUUCCAGCAAAGAUCAAUCUCUGCUGAUCCGGGGGAAUUCCUUCCUUGUCCUGGAUCUUGGCCUUGACGUUGUCAAUCGUGUCCGAGCUCUCCACCUCCAAAGUGAUGGUUUUUCCGGUCAGAGUUUUCACGAAGAUCUGCAUACCACCGCGGAGACGGAGGACAAGGUGGAGGGUCGACUCCUUCUGGAUGUUAUAGUCGGCGAGGGUACGGCCGUCCUCUAGCUGUUUACCGGCGAAGAUUAAUCUCUGCUGGUCCGGAGGAAUUCCUUCCUUAUCCUGGAUCUUAGCCUUGACGUUGUCAAUCGUGUCGGAGCUCUCUACCUCCAAGGUAAUGGUCUUGCCGGUGAGGGUCUUCACGAAGAUCUGCAUACCACCGCGGAGACGUAGCACAAGGUGGAGGGUUGACUCCUUCUGGAUGUUGUAGUCGGCUAGAGUUCGACCGUCCUCCAGCUGUUUACCGGCGAAGAUUAAUCGCUGCUGGUCCGGUGGAAUUCCUUCCUUGUCUUGGAUUUUGGCCUUAACAUUAUCGAUUGUGUCGGAGCUUUCUACCUCCAAAGUAAUUGUCUUUCCGGUGAGGGUCUUAACGAAGAUCUGCAUCUGUAUUUACGGACAAGAAAAUUAUAAGCUCUUAUAAAAUUCAAUGAACAGAACAACACAAAAUCAAUCAAUACUUAGAACAAAGGGGAAUGAAUUUAAUACCUUGAAGGAUUAGGAUUACUCGAAGAACCUUGCUGGUAUAUUUUUUUGAUUUGAUAAGAGUAGAUGAUUUGGGGGUCUAUUUGUAGUGAAAUUUUAGAGAGAGAGACGGAAAACUGUUUGACGGAGAGUACUAGUAUUCGCGGAGAUUAUGACACGUGUAUGGUGGAGCUUUCAUGCUCUAUCUACGCGUCAAGUUUAGGAAUCCAAGUGGAGUUAGGUGACGGAAACUUUGAGGUUUGGGUGGGUGUAGAGCUUGGCCCGGCUGCUUUUAUGAUGGCUUUUAGUUGGGCCGAUUCAUGCUAUCUAGAAGGUUGAGGAAGUAUCUCAAAUCUCAAUCAUAUUUGCUUUUUGCUGGUGGCUUAGGCUUACCCACUCAAAAAAUAUACUCCUCUCCAGUUUUUGGAAUUUUGUUUUUUAAUUUUUAAAAUCAGGUUAAAUAAGACACUAUGAAAUAUAUUUAUGAUCAUUUUGGUUUUUAAUAAUUGAUCAUGUUAAUUAAUUUUAAAAACAACAAUUUUUAGUAUAAAGCUAGCCAGCCUUCUCAGCUCUUUAUAUGCUCCAUUGAUACAAACACAGAGACUCCAAACAAUGUAAAAUUAGUCCUAUAAUAUGUGAUAUGACUAUCCCUCAAAGUGUCAUCAUAUUCAUAUACUAGCUGUGUCCCGUGACUCUGGCACUACAUGGACGGUGAAAUUUAUUCUAAAUUUUAGACGGUCUAGAUAAUUUAUUAGGGUGAACGGAAAAUUCAAAAUCAGUUAUAUUUUGUUAGAUAGAUUGUGGUGUUCUACAAUAUUACGUAGUGUAUUCAACCCAACUGAGUCAUCAGGAAUUUUGUGCUCUGCUAUACCAGUAUCAAGCAUCAAGCUCUAACAAAAACUUUGUAAUUAAUUAUGAGUAGCUUCUUUGGUUUUAAGUAUCAGAUGAUUUCUUUUUAAAAAAUAAAUAAAAAAAUAAUAAUUCUAUUAUCAUCAAGUUCCAAGUUGGACCCACAACAACUUUCUUGUGUUCUUCGAUUCCUUCUGAUGAUGUUUUAUCUUUCGAGUAAGUGUCAUCGGUUCAGCCUUCUGCUAUAUAUACUAGACCUUUUGAAAAACCUCUGGUUGCAAAUAAAUGUAAGUAAGUGGGAAAAAAAGAUAGAAUAUCAAUCUAGAAUUAGAUUUUUCAAAUAUUCUUUUUAUAGGUCACGGUAAUAUAAUCCGAUACUUCCUGUCCUAUCAAUGAGCAGUUGUGGGUAGCGUAGCAUAGAUUUGUGCCCAUAGAGUGAUCAUGACUUAUGGGAUCCGUGACUGUAACUUCGACCUUCCAAUGAUCCCAACAAGCAAAAGUCUCAAAUUUACUGGCCAUAACACACAUAUAUAUAUAUAUACAAAUAUAACUAAUUCGUGUUUGUUAAGUAUUAAUUCUUCAAGUUUGAUUUCAAAGAAUAACAAUGGUAUAUCGUGAACAUAUCUAGACUUUUCUUGUCAUGGUUCAAAUAGAUCAAGUAAAAAUGUAGAAAGAAAGAUUUUGAUCGCACUUGAGUUGGAGAUUGGGCCUAAAUGCAUGUGUAUUUCAAAUGCGCUCCUCUUAGUUGGAUAAAACAUGAUGAUAAGUUAGUCAGGUCAUACAAAGUAUCGCAGAACCACUUGCAAUAUGGAUUGUAGGAUCGGAUCAGAUUGUAGAUUGGCAAGAUUUUAUGAAAAAAGAAAUAUAAAUUAUUUUAACAAAAUUGGUAUACAUGUUGACAAUAUUUGACGAAGGUAAGAAUGUAUGUGAUAAGAUAUAAUAAUUAAAGUGGGGUUCUUCUUAAUUACUAUACAUUGUAUGUAUGCACACACGUCACAUUCAUAAUUCGGCUGAAAAUUUUCGCAAUGUAUACCCCAACUCUUAUUUUAAUAUGAAAAUAUAGUUCCAAUACGCAACACUUACCAUAAUAAUAUUUUAUAUUUGUAUCAUCUCAUAUUUAAGUUGUUAGAGAAUAUUAAAAUGUAAACUCUCACAUUACUUGUUCUAUUUUUAGUAGAAUUCGCGAUAACUUUCACAUGAAAUAGUUUUUAUUACAUUUACAAACAUAUAUCGUCAAUUAACUGUGAGUACUUGAAAAAAUCAAUUACUUAUUUCACAUAUAUUAAGUGGUAAGUAUCAAUCAAUCAACUUAAACGCCAAUUAUGUAUUAUAACUUGUUGAACUAAUGAAAGAAGUACCUAUAGUAGCAAUAUUCAAAGAUCAAAUGUAUUUCAUCUAUAUUUUAUACAUAUUAAAUUAAAAAUUUAGAGUUGUAUUUGGGUUUUAAAGUUUUAGAAAUUAGGAAUUUAAAAGUUUUUGAUUUAGUUGAGCCACUUGUAUAAAUAAAUAAAUAAAAUAAAAUAGAUACUUUUAGUUCACUUUGAUAGGAUCAAAUGAUCCCACACUACACUGAUCCUAUGAUCCUACAAUUUUAUGCAAUCUUAUGUGAAUAUUCUAUGCGAUUCUAUGUAUAUUUGUGAUCCGACUCUGAUCCGUAUCGUUUUCCUUCCAUAGGAUCACGAUCCUAUGAGAUCCUAUAAUUCGGAUCGAAAUUUUAACAACUUGUCUCGAUGGACUUUAUUUUUCCAAAGUAUAUACUAGCAAUAAGGUAAACAAGAAAUGCAACAAGUAACAACAUAAAAAUUAGUGUCUUUAUCACCCGUAUUUUAUUUUGCAUUGUACAUGUUAUUGUGCUAUAUAUGAUAAAUUAUGUAAUAAUGAUAUCCCACAAUAUGUAGGUUAAACUAGCUUAGCACCACCUUACUUAUUUACAUAUUAAAUAGAGUUUCAGUUGAACAACUCAAGUCUCUAAUCAAACAUAAUUCAAAUGAUCAAUCAUAACCUGAAUGGGGAAAUAUCGACAUGCAGCAGUCUCUUAUCGAAAUAAUAUAGAGAGAAGGAAAAUUCAAUUAUUUAGAAGCUAAAGAUGGAUCAAUUGCCAUUUGAGAGAGGGCCAAAGCUAUCAUUUAGUUUUGCAAGUAAUUAAAUUAAUUUAGCUUUCUUCUUGGAGGUUCUAUAUAUAUAUAUAUAUAUAUAUAUAUAUAUAUAUAUAUAUAUAUAUAUAUNNNNNNNNNNNNNNNNNNNNNNNNNNNNNNNNNNNNNNNNNNNNNNNNNNNNNNNNNNNNNNNNNNNNNNNNNNNNNNNNNNNNNNNNNNNNNNNNNNNNGCUAUGGACACUGUUCAGCAAACAAGCUUUCAUCCGUUGAUAUGGACAAUGGAAGGCCUAGAUCUGGUCAAAUAAUCCCACUGCCGCUACAGCUUGUAGCGGCAGUCCCUUAUGCUUUUUAAAUGAUGGCUUAUUACUUUGCUGCCCCUACUUAAUAUUACACCCCUGCAGCAUGAGCCUGUAGCGGCAGGGUCCAAAUUCCUAACUGUUCAGUAGCCGCAUGAGGCUUGUAGCCUGCUUUUAAAACUAUUACUAUAGUUUUAUUAUAAUUAUAUAGUAAUUAUAAUAAAACUAUUAACUAUUAAUUAUAUAGUAAUUUUAUUCUAAACUUUUAUUAUAACUAUAUAGUAAUUAUUAUAAAAGUUUUAUUAUAAUUAUAAUAAAACUUUUAUUAUAAUUACUAUAUAAUUAUAAUAAAAGUUUUAUUCUUAAAAGUCAAAUUAUUCUUAAAAGUUAAAUUAUAUAUUUAAUUGUGGAAUUAAAUAUAUAUAUAAUUUAUAAUUUGACUUUUAAGAAUAAAACUUUUAUUAUAAUUAAUUGUGGAAUUAUAUAUUUAAUUGUGGAAUUAAAUAUAUAUAUAUAUAUAUAUAUAUAUAAUUUAUAAUUUGACUUUUAAGAAUAAAACUUUUAUAGUAAAACUUUUAUUAUAAUUAUAAUAAAACUUUUAUAUAGUAAUUAUAAUAAAAGUUUAGAAUAAAAUUACUAUAUAAUUAAUAGUUAAUAGUUUUAUUAUAAUUAUUAUAUAAUUAUAAUAAAACUAUAGUAAUAGUUUUAAAAGCAGGCUACAAGCCUCAUGCGGCUACUGAACAGGUAGGAAUUUAGACCCUGCCGCUACAGGCUCAUGCCGCAGGGGUGUAAUAUUAAACAGGGACAGCAAAGUAAUAAGCCAUUAUUUAAAAAGCAUAAGGGACUGCCGCUACAAGCUGUAGCGGCAGUGAAAUUAUUUGACCAGAUCUAGGCCUUCCAUUGUCCAUAUCAAUGGAUGAAAGCUUGUUUGCUGAACAGUGUCCAUAACAAACGUUUGUUACGGAUGAUUUCCCAUAUAUAUAUAUAUAUAUAUAUAUAUAUAUAUAUAUCUCCGAUAGUCGAAAUGCCACGUAACAUCUUUCUAACCUUAACACGUUAGUAGAAAUAAAAAGAGGUACAUUCCGAAUCUUUGGUCUCCUCAUAUGAUUAAGUCAUGACCAGUGACCACCAACACAACCUGCAAUGCCCAUUCCAUUCAACUUUCAGGUGUUGACGCCAUUAUGGCAUUAUUAAUAUCUCAGCAGCCAAGUUAGUUCUGCAUAUGAAUUGGGAAAUUUAUAUAUGGUGUUAUUUGAUGGUCAGAAGUUCGAGGGUAAGUAAAAAUAGUAAUUUAGAUUGAACUUUGAUUUGUGGUUAAAAUUAAUAGCUUUUCUAGAUGGACAUGAAAAUUAAAUAUGAGUGUAUUAGAACUUCACCUAUUUAUAUUUUUAUCCACAAUUAGGGUUAAAAUAUAAUUAAAUGAAAUUCAAAUACACUCAUGUCCAAUUUUCAUGUCCACAUAGAAUUUUUGUUAAAUUAAUAUUUUUCGUAUGUAGAUGACAUUAUGAAAGGAAUGAGCAAAACUCUUACUUUUAUGAGUGUUUUAGCGAGAAGAACUUGAAAAUUACUUUCUUUUGCUGGUGUUUUAGGUUCACUUCAGUAGUUAAUUUGUAAGCCUAUUACAGUUCUAUAUUUUAAUUUUAUUAUUUUGAACUAUAUACUUUAUCAUAUUUUGAUUUUUUUAAUCAUUGAGAAUUUAAUUAAUGGUUAUAUAUUUACUAAGGAAUUAAAGUUUACUAAUUAGGCCUUUUUACUAUUUAAAUAAUUGUAACUCUUUAGAGUACCAUAUCAGUUGAAGAAAGUUCGGAUUCCCCCAUGCACUUUCUUCUACUGAAUUCAAAUAACUCUUGUGGAUUCGAUGUUUACAACGAUUAUAAUAUUAGAUUAUUAUAAUACAAAAUCUAACUCUUAAGUGAUAAUUAAAAUUGACAUGGUCGUCGCUAUCUAUAAUUAAUUAUAUUACAAUAUCACUAAAUAAUAUUUCUAACAAUGUAACUAGAAUGUCCUCUAAUACAAGUAUCGAACACAAGUUUUGACAUAUUUCAUUUCUAUAAUAUUUGUAAAAAAGUUAGUAUAUAAACUGUAAUUAAUAAAAACAAUAAUAUUAGAAAAAGUUAUAUCAAAUAAAGAAUAUUAUACCUUAACAAAUAUAUAAUUAACAAUGAUGUUCAAACUCGGCUUGAUUUAAGACUUGUUCGACAUACAUAAUUCAUAUAUAAACUCCUAUAAAUCAAGCUCAUUUCUUCAUAUGAACAAACUACAAAGUAUGGACAAUCCAAAUUAGCUCGGCUUGAACUUGCUCAUUUACACUACUUAAUUCAAAGAAUUCACGUAGCUAUUAAGUCUUUCAUCAAUUGUAUUACUAAAUUAAAAUGGGCAUGACCUCUUAUCAAUAUUAAUUGUCCUUAAUUGCCAUGCAUGUGCAUGUAACUAUAUACUAUAAACACACAAUUUAAUUUAGGGCAUGUGGGUUCCUACGAUUAAUUAAUGUACUGAUUUAACGCGAAAUGAUUUAAAAUCAUAUUAUAUGUGAUUAAUAGGAGGGGAUUUUUUUAACCCGCGGCAUGCGGGUGUUACGUAGUAGAAAAGCGAUAUAUAUAUAUAUAUAUAUAUAUAUAUAUAUAUAUAUAUAUAAAAGUUGAUCAAAUGCAUGUGGUAUUCGUUUCUGUCCAUGAAUUUUGAUUCCACUAAUAGAGGAUGGUAAGUUUUGAUUGCUGACCUAAUUAAAGUCCACAUUUUGGGCCACUCUAUAUAUGUAUAUUAAACUCUUUUACGAAAGGAUCCUUCAACCAACCAACAAACCAACCAUUUGUAGCAGGUAUUAGGUUGCCGACCUAGCUCAGAAUUUAUCUACGUUAGAAAAUAUUGAGGUUUUAAUGAUCUUGGAGAAAACGGGCAAACAAAUUAUAUAGGUAAUUUUAAAUUAUGUGGGUGGCUUCGUGUUUUUUGAAUUAUAUAUAGCAACUGUCUGUCAUCCACCACGAGUCAGAUAUAACCACUGAUAUGAGGCCAAGAUCUUUGGCCAAGGGUUUAAAAUUAGAGGAAGACUCGUUGAAAGAGACGGGAAAAUUGGGAACAUGCAUGGUUAAAAUUUGAUGUACAUGCAUUGUAUUGUUGUUUCUGCUGCCCAGAUCUCAAGUGCUUGCGGUAGCUGGGGAAAAAGAGAGAAGCUUCAAUGAAGGGACCAAAAGGACAUAAUAUAAAAUUUUCUUACUACAACAUGAUGAGUAAGUUAACAAGUGAGGCUUACUUGCGGAACUAUCAAUUUGACUUGCCAAAAUAUCAAUUUCCCUAAAAUAUAGUGGUGUGACUGUCACCCUAAAAUGGAUAUAUAUAUAUAUAUAUAUAUAUAUAUAUAUAUAUAUAGUGUGCAGCGAACCAGAGAAAGUGAAUUAAGAACGAAUCGGUUAUAGAGACGAUUUUUUUCGUCACUAUAAUAUAGAAAGCCAGUUUUUUAUGUUAUAGCGACUAGAAAAACUGUCGCUAUAGCCGCACUACAACAAAAAAGCUUAUCAGCGACCGCCUAUCAGCGACCGAAUGUGGUCGCUGAUAUCUAUCUGCGACCGACUGCAGUCGCUACAAGGCGUCGCACAAAAUCUGGUCGCUAAAAAUGCACAUCAGCGACCACUAUUAGCGACCGAUUCUUCUCUGCCCAUGUGCCCACCAGCAUUCUUCGUAAUUUCUCAUGAACCCAGAAACAAGUAAAUGAUAGUUUACCAUGUCUCUGUCCAUAUAAUUUACAUUCUUACACUUCAAACAUGGACAUCGUAUCUGCGACUUACCAUUCAUACAUUCCGGGUGACUAUACGCAUACUCCAAAAACACUUGGCAACCAGCUCUAAAUUCAGCUGUAGCACCUAUCUGGGCACUUGACUUUCGUCGUGCCAUCCAACUACGGUCUGAAUAGAGGUCCAUGAUUCCACGGUACCUACUACAGACAACAUUAUAAAUGUUAACAUAUGACUUGAGCAUACUUGUAAGCAUGCAUAUGAUUAACAUUUAAGCAUACUUGUAAGCAUAUGAGUUGAGCAUACUUGUAAUCAUAUGACUUGAGUAUACUUGUAAGCAUCUGAUUAACAUUUAAGCAUACUUGAUGUUAACGAAUGAUUAACGAACGAAUGAUUAACAGUCUCUUUAUUGACCAAGUGUGUCUAGUUACCUUCUCUGUUGCACUAACAGUUCCCUAGCACUGCCUAUUUUGGCUUAACAACCCCCUAAUAGCUUACCAUGCUAACAACCAAGCUUGGAGUGAUAGUACAGUGUCGUAUAAUAUGUGGGUUAAUGAGACUAGUCCUAGCUAGGAAGUCAAAUGAACAAGGGUAGUUUAGCUGUCUUCAUCAACAAUUUAUUUCUUUUUGGAAGUCUACGGAGUGGAGUUAUAAAACUAGCAACUUUAUAUUGGCCCCAUUUGCAUUGGCACAGCCCGAGAGUUCAUAAUUGUACAUUUUAUGUCUAAACAAUCCACUAGUCAUCUUUAUUGUACCAUCACUUGGGCUUAUUUACCCAUAGUCUUCAUCCUCUUUCUUCCUUCCUUUUAUAUAUAUAUAUAUAGAAUGUUCUUGAGGUUAGUGUCAAAUUCAAACAUUUAUUAUACCAGACCAGCUGCUGGACUUUGAGAUUGUUGGUUCCUGCAUGCUGAUACCAAGCUAAGCUAAAAAAAUAAUAUAUGUUUUAACACACACUCCUAUGUUAUGGUGGUUUGUAGGUUGGAAUCUUGUUUAUGCUAUAAACUCCACCAAUUAUGGGUAAUAUAAUACCUCACAUUUGACCCUCUGUCGGGAUGAUAGUAUUUUAGUAUUAAACUUCACGCUAACAUUGGUAAUAUUACUAUUAAUCACAAACCUCGCAGAACGUGAGAAUCAACAGAAUUAGUUAUGCGUCAUCUCAAGGACUGUUUCAAGACCUAUUACUGUAUUUGGAGAGGGAGGGAAAUAUGCUAAUCCUCACAUCUCGUCUUGGAUAAAAGAGGUUAUCCAAUGAACUCUCCCAAACAUGCUAAAUUUCUAAUCGACUACAAUUAAGUAACCCAUAAAUAUAGCUCCUUAUUAGGUGAUACACAGACGUAUAAGAAAUCUUUUGCUAAAAUCAAGGUGAGUCUCAAGAAACAACACAAUUUUGAAUAACACACAAGGUUGAAUAACACAUAUUAAAACACAUGUUCAGUAUAUUCCCAAUUUCAACACAUAUUAAAACACAUAUUCAGUAUAUUAAACACAUAUUAACCCUAAAAAUAAUUUAACCUAAAAAUUUCAGUAAUCUCAUAAAACUCUUUGCAACAAUUUCAGUAUAUUCCCAAUUUCAAUAAGAAGCUAUAAAUUUCAGUAAUCCCAAAUGCAAUAAUCCCAAAUUCAUACCACAACGAACUACUAGAAUUCAUACCCAAAUUCAUAGCUCUAAAUUAACUCUUAAAACAAAAAUUCAGUAGCAAUAUAAGAUAAUUUAUUGUAUGAACUAGCUUUGCCCCAAACUAUUGUACAAGAAAUUCAGUAGCAAUAUAAGAUAGUGCUUUCAUAGUUAGGUUACCUAUGGGCGGCGACAGCAGCGAUGGCAGUGGCGGCGGCGGUGGCUGGCGUGCGUGCGUGUGUCUUCUCCUUCUUCUCCUUUUUCUUCUCUCCCUCUUCUCUCUAUUCGAUCUCCCUCUUUUUUUUCUUUCGUUUCUGUUUCUGCGAAUGACUGAAACUGGGUAAAUUAAGUUUGAUCAGCGACCGUUAUCUGCGACUGCAUGCGGUCGCUACUUUUUAAUGACAUGGAAUUAUCAGCGACCGCAUGCGGUCGCUGAUAUUAAUUGGUCGCAGAUACCCUUGGCGCCAACAUUUCGUGCCAAAUUUUACGAGGGAAAUGUGUGUUAGCGACCUCUCAGAGACCGCAUGCGGUCGCUGCAAUUAAUUAGCGACUAGAUUAAUGUGUGGUCGCAGAUAUCGGUCGCGAAUAGUAAUAUCAGCGACCGAAAAGGCGGUCGCUGAUAGUGUUGGUCGCUGUUAGGCAUUUUUCUUGUAGUGCCGGUUCGUUCUUAGUUCUCUGGAGAGAGCUGGGAUAUAUAUCGGGUUCUAUAGCUAACGUUGUAAAAAAAUAUCUAUCUUUACAACAAAUCCUGAUCAUCCAUCCGGAUAUAUAACGACUUAUAUUGCUCCCGUCUGCAGUUUAAUUUUCAGUAUUUCACAAUUUAAUAUUGCGGACGGGAUAAAUGUCCUAAAUGUCCCUUCUUAUAAAAGUCUCUCAUUCGCACUAUUAAUUUAUUUUUUAGUUUUUUAGGCUCCACAAUAUUAAACUAAAUAAUUAAUUUCACACUACGAUUUCAUUGAUUCACUCUACGAUUGUAAAUUAAUGAAAACUAAAUAAAAAAACAUGGAUUAUUGCUUGUUUGAAUCUGUAUGUUUCUUUUGGUUUAUUCCCUUGGUGGAUGAAGGUUCUCGCUCUGUCCCUCUUCCUGCUCCUCGGUUCCUUCCAUUCCAAAUAUUACCAAUUAAGUACUAACAUACUAUUCCAAACAUUUUGAUCCAAUUUUAAAUAAAUAAAAAGGUACAAAUAAUAUUACCUCAUGAUUCCCUGUAUUUGAUUGUCUGAUACCAAAAAAUAAAAAAUAAAAAUCAUAUGAAUGAUCAGAUUUAAAAUUUUAAAAAAUAAAUAAAUACACAAAAAUUCUAACAAGGGCAUCCAAAUCGGUGAACAAGAAGUAAAUAUGCAUACCUAAAUUCGCUGCAGUCUCUCUUUCGGUUACGCAAUCGUGCAUACCAAUCACAGCUGCAGGAACCAUCCUUUUACAUCCUUCACUAAAAAUUAGUAAUACAAAGAUUAGAUUCACAACCAAAAAAAUGUUCCUUUACUAUUUAUUACUAUUCAACUAUCUACUAAAUUCGUGCAAUUUAAUACUGCGGAGCUUAAAAUAUUAAAUAAAAAUUUGAAUUUGGCCAAAACAACGUCGUUUUAUAAUUGGCCAGUCAUAAUUAGGGGACGCAAUUUAAUAUUGUGAACGGCCCUUAUUUACGACGUCCCAAUUGGUCAUACUUAGCGUCCGAAAUUUAAUACUGCUAACGAAAGAAUUUUUCAAAGAGGAUUAUUUUGAUCAUCUGUUCCGUCGGCAGUAUUAAACUACGGAAUACAGGAGCAAUAUAGGUUGUUAGAUAUUCGAAUGGACGAUCAAGAUUUAUUGUAAGGAUAAACACUAUUAACUAUGGAUCAAACNNNNNNNNNNNNNNNNNNNNNNNNNNNNNNNNNNNNNNNNNNNNNNNNNNNNNNNNNNNNNNNNNNNNNNNNNNNNNNNNNNNNNNNNNNNNNNNNNNNNACCCAUAUAUAUAUAUAUAUAUUAAUAAGAUAGAACUCAUUUUGAAUUUUGACGGGAAAGGAUGGUGGAAGAGGAAGAAUGAGAGAAAAGAAAUGAAAAUGAGAUUAUUGAAACAGAAAAAGAGAAAUUUGUUACGCCGUGCUUUUAGCCAAAGCAUAUAAAUUCAAGAAUCAAGAGUGGGGAUACUUUAAUGUCCAUUUAUAGGUAAACAAUGCACAUACAUGACGUUAAAUUCCCGUCCUAGCUAGCUAACUGAAUUUCUUGAGCGUGUUGACAUGGGAAUGAAUCAUCAGACUAAGCAUGUGACCUGGAAAUAUUAAUCAUAAGAUACUACCUAUCCACGUAUUUCUGUGCCGACAUGCAUGGAAUUGAAUCGUACCAUCUGCUUAACAGUAGUUUGGUCAAGUAACUAUCAUGCAUACAUGUGACUUGUUUUUGCAAUUUAGAUUAAUUCAGAGAUAUGGGCAGGAGAGAGAAACUUGGAGGAAUGAUAACCAGUUGAUGAAAUAGAGAUUGUUUACUUCUUGAUAUUAAUGAUAUCUCGCUCACCAGGAUGAAUAAUAUAUAUUCUAUUGGCUACACAAAAAUAGUGUAAUUUACAAAUUAAGAAUAUGUAUUUUUGUUUUACGUUUGCCUCUAAAUUAAAUAAUAAGUCCAUUUAGUUUAGUAAUUGUAGCUUGACAUUAAAAUAAUGAUAACAAACUUAAAUAUAUUAUGUCAUUUUCUACUACUAUGCAUAAAGAGAUGACUCUUUUGUGAAAAAAAUAAAUAUUUUAGUAAAUGGUUGUCUUUUUACGGAACAUAAUGAACGUGAAAGGUAGUUUAAUUUGCAUGAACAUAUAUGGUCUCUCCUCUCUGAUCUGAUCUCUCAUGGCUAUUCAUAUAUAUAUAUAUAUAAAAUGGAAAACAAAAUCAAUCAUAUUAACAAAGCCUAGACUGUAUGCUAAAGGAGGGUAAGAAUUGGAUAUUUGUAUGGAUUUAGAAUUUCUCUGAUGGCAAUACGAGACGCGUGUUCUUUUCUUAAACAUAGACUUUGUUUUUUUGCUAAAUUUAAACAUAGACUUUCAAUCAGUCAAUCCUCGCACUAUACAUGUCUUAAGUCAAUAAUAAUGAAUGCCCCUAGCUCUCCUUCUCCUAGCUAUAUAUAAAGUCGUCUUUCUCCUCCAAUUAAUCUUCAUGGACUACAAUCUCUCUCUCUCUCUCUCAAGUUCAUCAUAUAUGGUACUUCUAUAUACCCGUAGGUACGUACCAAUCCCUAUAUUUUUAAUUAUUUUGCAUUACGUACGUACAUUAGUUAGUUAGUUAUGUUCACAUUUAAUGAUCGAUCUAUAUAUAUAUAUAUUUGUUAAUUAAUUAAUUAAGAUUGUUAGCAUGCAGUUUUCUUAUAUCAUUCCAUGGCUAAAUUAAUUAAUUUCAAGAAUACUGUUAUACAUACAUAUACUAGCUAGCUAGACUUGUAAAUUUUAGUUGAUUGUCUAAUUAUAUUACUCCAUGUAUAUUAAUAUUUUUCGAUUACUUAGGUUAGGAAUAAUUUAUGGUUCAGCAGAUAGAGUACCUAGCUUAUAUACAAAGAUCUACCGAUUAGUUUUUCCUUGACCAAUAAUCUUAAAAUGCAGGACAGGAUCAAUACAUUUGCGGCUAGAGGCCUCUGCAAAUUUGUGAAAGAUAAUUAAGGAAGUAACAAAUGGCGCAAUAUAAUACCUUUUUGGUGUUUCCAAACCUGCCGGUACGUACGCCAACUAUAAUUAUGAAAAUGACUCUUUGUUUAUUUACUAUAUAUAUAUAUAUAUAUAUAUUAUGUAUUAUAGCUGGGGACUUUAUUUUUUCACAAAGAAAUAUACUACUAGCAUAUUUUCUUGCAAAAUAGUCAUAUAUAUAUAUAUAUAUAUAUAUAUAUAUAUAUAUAUAUANNNNNNNNNNNNNNNNNNNNNNNNNNNNNNNNNNNNNNNNNNNNNNNNNNNNNNNNNNNNNNNNNNNNNNNNNNNNNNNNNNNNNNNNNNNNNNNNNNNNACAGAUUUUCAGAUUCCUUAUGGACCUUCAAUCUAUCUAUGGCAAAGGAUUCUUCACUAAUAUUUGAUAUUAUUGUUUAUUGUGGUGUAACUUUAUUUCUGAUAGAACAUAAGAAAGUCGAAUUAAAUUUAGAGAGAAGAUAUUGGUAUUCUAGAUAUAUAUUUUUUAAAAAUAUCUAAUUUUGUUCCUGUGUGCAUUAAAGAUAAAAAGUAUGAUCACUUGUUUAUAAAUUCCCUGAAAACCGAAUGAAAGUAACAGGUAUGAAAAUAAAAUAUAAAAGUUUGGUACUCCAAAUCUUUUUAGUCAGAGCUAAACUAAAAAUUAAAAUAACUUUAACAUAAUUCUAUUUUCUUCUAAGCUAUUUUCAAGAUGAAGUAUGAUUGCGACUCAUCUUUUGGAGAAGUUCUGAAUUCUAAUUUCUAAUGAAAUGAAAGGCAUAUAAAUUAAUUGGAUACUUCUCCCUCCAUUCUCAAAAAGGAUGACCACGUAUAUAAAUAUUUUGUCCUAAAAAAGAUGAGCAAAAUCAACAAAUUAACUGGACUACAUAAAUUUUUGUGCGGACUAAUUUAUCCUUAACUAUACUUGGUUCAAAUUAAUGAUCUCUCUCUCCAAACUCAAAACUCAAGGAUAAAUUAUAUUCUCUAUUACUUUUUUAAUUACCUUAAUUUGUAUAAAAUUUGUCAAUUUGUGGAGACGGAGCAGGUAGUAACACUUAUAAUCAAAAUCUAGGGAUUAAUUAACUUUCAUGAAAAAGAAAUGGAAGCAGGAAAAGUUGAUCCGGCAACCUGAUCAAUUCUACGAGUCUAGGUCAUAUAUGUACCAAAAAAAUACCCAUAUUUAGACAUCUUCAUGAAUGAGAUGGAGAUUUUUUUGGGUGAAUUCUCCUUUCUACAAGGUAAUAUAAAAUAUAAAAUAUAAAAUAUAAAAUAUAAAAUAUAAAAUAUAAAAUCAAAUUAGACUUAAUUAUAUAUUAGAUUAUAGAUUACAAAAAUAAUUUAUUUUUAAUUUUUAUAAUUUCUUCUAAAACAUCAAGUAAAAGGGGGGAGGGACUACAUUUAUAUAAAUAUAUAUGUUGGUUCAUGAUAUUUCCCCUCUUUGGGCCGAGUAGAUUGGGCCUACAUAUUUGAUUUGUUCAAUUGGGUCCUUAUUAUUGAGUCUUAAAGUUAUUGGGCCUAGUCAUUAUAUUAUUCCUGUUGGAUCCUUUUAAGAUCGGGUUGAUCAGUGGAUCGACCCAUUAGAUAUUUUAAUAUCUCUAUCUUUGACUUGUAAUGAUGAAAAAGUAUGACGGUUGACUAAAACACCUGCCAUGCAUUAAUGUGGAUGGGAUCAUAGCCGGCCGGCGGUAGAAACAGUGACCAAAAAUAGUAGGUAGACUACAUGCAAUCGGCAGAACCCAUUAGAUCAGGGGGCUGUGUCAGAUAGUAGUGAGUGGCACGGUAAUCUGGUCAAAGAAAGUAUAACCUAGCAAGGAGGUCUUCACAAACAGGUAUGACUUCAUUCAUAAUCACAUACACACAAUUGAGAAUUAUUAUCUCUCUCAAUACACUAGACAUUACAUCCUCCAUUGUUAACCUUGUGAACACGUAUACUGACUCUCACGCCUGAGCUGUCCCCCGACGGAACAGCCGUCAAGCUUGUGGUGUUUAUCGUGUUUACUGUGCAGGAUCAGGGCGUCUUACGUGAUUGGGACGUGGCAGAAGAUCUUGGCGUUACCAUUGGCGCUAGAAGGAGGGCGAGUUCUAGUGUCAUUGAAAUUUUCAAUCAUAAUUAUUUAACCUACUUCGGAAGAUGAUGAGGAGUAGAGAUGGUACGCCAGAAGGGCAGGCGAUGGCUGUUAGCUCGUCAAUGCCUCGUGUUUUGGUAAAAGAUCGUCUGGGUCCUUCUAAAAGUGCUCACGAGAGCACGACCUCUAAGCAUAAUUCAGGAGAUCUCCGUCCGAAGAUCCAUGGUGGGGCCAGAUGAAAGUUGGUUUUCAAUACGAAUAAGGAGCUUGAUCAUGGUCGAGGGUGGGCGGAAGGCUCACCGACCAAGACUCAUCGUCAAAGUGAUCAGGAGGACAGAGCUGCCAAGUUGGCGAGGAUGGCAGACGAAGCAGAUAAAGCCUCGGAGGUUCUGUUGAAACAGAGAGAAGAUAUAGCCGAACAGAUGCUUCGGGUGGCGAAAUUAAGGGACGAAGCAUCUAGCCAUGUUCAGUCCGAAAGGCGGAGUAGGCAUAAGGAGAUGUCACGGCGAGAGGGUAAGGAGUCGGAGCAUUCUGCACAUGUGUCUAGGGAUUGUUCUCACAGUAGGAGGAGAUCGAGGAGCAGAACUCUCGUGGCCCCGAAGAAGGCACUGAUGGUCGUUGGUUCUCAGCAUCGAGACGACGACAGACGAAGAAGCAGGUCGAGGGAGAUCGUGCCAGAAACCAGAAGAAAAAAGUAUCAUCAUGACCAUUCUCAUCAUGAGGAUAGAAGUGUACGCCGGAGUAGAUCAAGAAGCCCCACAAUGGCAACGGGACCGGCAGGAGGAGGUCGAUCCUCGCAGCCCGAAGGUGUUGAUUUUCUGGUAAAGGAGUUGAAAGAGCUUCGAAAGUAGCUAGCUGAGGUUCAACAGGUGAAGGACACUCCGGGAAAGAAGGCAUCCCCUUUUUCCUCAGAUAUUCUCAAGGAGAAGGCAGAUAUCACCAAAAAGUUGCCUCGUAUGGAGAGUUCCGAUGGGUCCGGAGAUCCUUAUGACCAUAGUCAGGCCUUCGACCGGCUGAUGGACUAUUAUGACUUCACUGAUGCUGCCAAGUGCCACACUUUUGUCACGACACUGAGAAAAGAUGCGAAACAGUGGAUGAGGACUUUACCAUCAGAUUUGAUAUCCUCUUGGACCGAGCUUUGUGAUAAGUUCCAUUCACGUUUUGGAAGCAACCGAAGAAGGGGAAAGCCUACGGGUUCUCUGGCACAGAUCCGGCAGUUCACCAGCGAAUAUUUAGGCCAGUAUGUAAAUAGGUUCAGAGAAGCGGUUGGUCAGGUGUCCGACCUUAAUGAUCUCCAGGCUGUAAGUUUGUUCCAGAACGGGCUAGAUCUGGUAAAGUCUGAGAAGUUGGUGAAGAAGUUGACGUUCCACCAUCCGAAAAGGCUGGCAGAAGCCUUUGACAAGGCAGGAGGUUAUAUUGUUGUAGAAGAGGCUAUGAACAGCCUGAAGCGUCCUUCUUCGGACCAGUUAAAGGAGAUAGAAGUUCCCAAGGCCGAAGGUGAUCAGAAGAGAACGGGGGGGUAUAAUGAUCGGCCAGAGGGCAGUUUGAAGAAGUACAAUAACUCAUGGAGGCAAGGAAGCAGUUGUCCACCUGUUUUCGCCCCGAAUGUGAAUAAGGUCUACACCAAACUGAACACAGAUAGGUCGGUGAUUUUGGAUCAGAUCAGAAACCAGCCUUUUUUCGAGCCACCUCGUGAUAAUUAUAGGACAAGACAAGGCAACUCUCGUAAUAGUGUGGCUAUCAUCAAGCCGCAGGCCACGACACUAAUGAGUGUUACAACUUAAAGGAUUUCGUGGAGAAGAAGAUUCAAGGCGGCUUGCUGGUUCAGUAUGUGGCCGAGAAAGACCAACAUGAUCAGCAGAAUAUCAACCGUACUAUUCAGACGGUUCAAAUGGCUCCAUCUAUCCAAAAUGCUCCAGUACCACCGCCAAGGCACGUCAUCGAUGUAAUAACCGGAGAAACUGUAGGAAAGUUGUCAGGGAAGAAGAGAAGGGCCUACCUGGAUUCGGUCAUGUCUAUGGCAGAUGCUCCCAUGAAGAUCGACAGACCAUUCCCAGGAACCGUCAUAUCAUUUAUGGACACAGAUUAUCCGUCGGAGCCCAUCGAGUCACAUGAAGGGGCAUUGGUGAUCACAGCACAAGUAGGCUCGGUGGAUGUGAAACGCAUGAUGAUAGACAACGGGUCCUCGGUGGAUAUUCUGUAUGCCCACGCCUCUCAGAGGAUGCAUCUUGAUGGACAAAAGAUGGAGGUCGGGCAUGAGGCUCCUUUAUACGGCUUUAGCAACGAUCCAGUCAAAGUUGCAGGCACUAUUGAACUUCCGGUUAUCUUCGGCACAGCACCUCGGCAGGUAGAAAUAACGUGUAAAUUCUAUAUUGUGCAUGUAGAUUCGGCUUACAACGCCAUACUGGGAAGGCCUACAUUGACGGCUCUCCAAGCUGUGACCUUCAUCCCUCAUUUCAAAAUCAAGUUCCCCACGGCGCAUGGAGUAGGAGAGGUGGCAGGGGACUUAGAUCUGGCCCGACGAUAUUAUUGGAAUGCUAUUAUUUCUUCCGGAGUGGGGGUCAGUAAACAGAAACAAACAAUGGCAAUUGAGAUCGAACCUUUCACUGAGAGCAGCUCAGAACCGUUGGUAAUCCCUGCAGGUGGGACAGAGGAGAUCGAGUUGAUCAUCGGAAAACCGGACAAGACAGUGAAGAUCGGUUCGGGUCUACCAGAGCCUCUUCGGACAAACCUUAUGUAACUCCUACGCUGCUAUGCGGAUAUUUUUGCAUGGGAACCACAGGAUAUGCCCGGAGUUAGCCGAAAGAUACCUGAGCAUAGACUGGAUGUAGAUCCCUCGAAGAAGCCAGUUCGGCAGAAAAGGCGGAUCUUUACGCCAGAGCGACAGAAGAUCAUCGAUGAAGAGAUUGCAAAGCUGUUAGCUGCUGACUUCAUCUAUGAAAUUGAUUACCCGGAGUGGAUGACGAAUGUGGUGUUGGUGCAGAAGCAGAAUGGAAAAUGGCGGGUUUGCAUCGACUACACCGAUCUCAAUAAAGCUUGUCCGAAGGACUUUUAUCCUCUGCCCCAUAUCGAUCAGCUCAUCGAUGCCACUUCGGGGUAUGCAUUACUAAGCUUUAUGGAUGCUUUUUCAGGUUAUCAUAAAAUAUCCAUGUGCAAAGAGGACAUUCUAAAAACAGCGUUCAUUACACACCGUUCGGUGUACGCCUACAAGAAGAUGACUUUUGGCCUUAUAAAUGCUGGAGCCACCUACCAGAGAAUGAUGAACUUCAUCUUCGACAGGCAGCUAGGAAGGAACAUGGAGGUUUAUGUAGAUGACAUGAUCGUGAAGAGAAUGCAGGUUCAGAAGCAUUUGGACGAUCUGGGGGAAUGCUUUCAAACGAUCCGGCCAAAUGCACUUUCGGCCUCGGUGCAGGAAAGUUUCUGGGAUAUCUGGUCAGUCAGAGGGGCAUCGAGGCCAACCCGGAAAAGAUCCAGGUCAUUCUUGAUAUGAAGACUCCUCAGUCGUUCAAAGACGUCCAACGUCUGACUGGAAGGAUUGCAGCUUUAAGAAGGUUCAUGUCCAAAUAUGCAGAAAGAUGCUUGCCGUUCUUCGUCACAUUGAAGGGGCCGAAGAAUGCGAAGACGUUCCAGUGGACUUCGGAGUGUGAAGACGCCAUCCAAGGCAUAAAGACAUCUGUCUUUUGCUCCUUUAUUGGUGAAGCCCGCCCCAGCAGAGACCUUAUAUUUAUACCUUGCAGCAAGUUCGUUGGCAGUUGGAGCAGUGCUGAUUCGAGAGGUCAGUGGGAAGCAGCAUCUGGUCUAUUAUGUCAGUCACGUCCUACGAGAUGCUGAAACCAGGUACCCGAAUAUUUAGAAAUUUUCCUUUGUUUUAAUAAUUGCUAGUAGAAAACUUCGGCAAUAUUUUCAAGGUUGGCUCCUGGUCGUCUACACGGAUCAACCAUUGAAGAAGGUGAUGGGCAAGCCAGAGAUUUCAGGGAGACUAGCAGCAUGGACUAUGGAGUUGUCCUAAUUUUUCAUUGAAUACCAUCCCCGAACCGCUAUCAAGGGUUAAGCCUUGGCUGAUUUUAUGGUGGAAUGUUCAUUCACCGAAGCAGAUGCCGAGUUGCCAGAGGCUGAGACGUCCGAUCGAGCAGUUGCGGUUCUUCAGCAGGGUCAGAAUGCUUGGACGCUAUAUGCAGAUGGAUCCUCUACAGUGACUAUUAGUGGGGCAUGAAUUAUCUUGACGAGUCCGGAGGGAUUCAAAGUUCAGCAGGCCAUCAGAUUCGGGUUUAAAGCGACGAACAACGAAGCCGAGUAUGAAGCAGUGUUAGCAGGUGUUCGAUUGGCAAAGAGUCUAGAAGUCCAGAAGCUGAUCAUUUACAGUGACUCUCAGUUGGUCGUCAAACAGCUGUCGGGAGAUUAUGAAGCUCGUGGGACCCGGAUGAUCCAGUAUCUUGCGGAAUUAAAAGACCGACUUCAGUAUUUCACUUCGUAUGAUUUUCAGGACAUAGAGCGGAACGACAAUUCCAUUGCCGAUGCACUAUAGAAGUUGGCCACUACGGAUGCAGAUGUUUUCAACGGAUCGGUUUAUUUGGAAGUUUUGCAGCAGCCGAGUAUUCAGCACGAAGCGGUGAUGUGUAUCGAGUGAUCUAACUGCUGGAUGACUCCCUACAUUAAGUAUUUGGCAGAUGGCGUCCUUCCUUCGGAUCAGAUGUUGGCAAAGAAGAUCAAGUUCAAGAGUGCCAAUUUUGUUCUUAUUGACGGGGAUCUUUAUCGAUUGUCAUUUUCCUCACCAUUGCUGAAGUGUCUGGUUCCAUCCGAGGCCGAGUAUGCUCUUCGGGAGGUUCACGAGGGUAUUUGCGGUGAUCAUAUGGCUGCCAAGACUUUGGCUUAUAAAGUACUUCGACAGGGAUACUAUUGGCCUACAAUUUUCAAGGAAGCUACGGAGUAUGUCAAGAGAUGUGAAAAAUGUCAGCUCAACAGUCCGAUCCCACAUCAGCCACCAGAAGAGCUAUAUUCGAUUUUAUCUCCUAUACCCUUCGCUGUCUAGGGGGUAGAUAUAUUGGGUCCGUUGCCUAAAGCUAAAGGUCAGGUCAGCUUUGUCAUAGUUGCUAUUGAUUACAUGACUAAGUGGGUAGAGGUGAAGCCACUUCGGUUAAUAACGGAACAAAAGUGUUUGAAGUUCAUAAAAGAGUCCGUAGUGUUUCGCUUCGGGAUUCCUAGAGUGUUGAUAUCGGACAACGGACGCCAGUUCGUGGGAUCAAAAUUUGAAGGAUUUUUAAAGGAGCUGGGGAUUCAGCAUAAGAAGACUUCGGUGGCUCACCUACAGUCAAAUGGGCAAGUUGAGGUGAUCAACAGGACGCUGCUGAACGGGAUCAAGCGCAGACUGGAUGAAACUAAAGGAAGAUGGCCAAAAGAGCUGCUCAGCGUGCUGUGGGCUUACCGGACUACACCGAGGACCACCACAGGGGAUUCACCCUUUCGAAUGGCCUAUGGUACUGAUGCCUUAGUCCCAGUCAAAAUUGGAUGUCCAAGUCUUCGGGUAAGUCAAUUCAAAGAGAUCUACAAUGACGAAAGACUGAAGACCAAUUUGGAUUUGCUAGAAGAAGUCAGAGAGGUGGCUUUACUCAAAUUGGCUGCUUAUCAACGAAGAGUAGCUAAGCAUUACAACAAAGGGGUCAAACUUCGCAGAUUCGAAGUAGGAGACUUCGUCCUCAGAGAAUCCGAAGCAUCUACACCUCAAAACACGGGAAAGUUAAUGCCAAACUGGGAAGGGCCGUAUGAGGUGAUCAAAGUAUCAAAGCCAGACACUUAUCGGUUAAAGGCAUUAGAUGGUUCCGAGAUCAAGAACACUUGGCAUGCUGGCAGGCUUCGAAAAUAUUUUCAAUAGAGAUCAAGUCAAUUUACCGGAAGUCUGUACAUGAUUGUCCAUUAUCAAUAAAAAGUCACUUUUUCACUACUGAUCCUGUUCCUAUUUGUCCUAAGUUCACAAUGGUGUAAGGAGGUAUGGUAGGACUCGCUGGCCAUUCGAUGGCAGCGCACUUAUUUGUUACCCCGUGCGGUAGAUAAAUCCUAUGUUCCUAUAUUGAUUUUACCAAAGGUGGUAAGUCAAUGGUCACUACUGAUCUUGUUCCUAUUUGUCCUAAGUUCACAAUGGUGUAAGGAGGUAUGGUAGGACUCGCUGGCCAUUCGAUGGCAGCCCACUUAUUUGUUACCCCGUGUGGUAGACAAAUCCUAUGUUCCUAUAUUGAUUUUACCAAGGGUGGUAAGUCAAUGGUCACUACUGAUCCUAUUCCUAUUUGUCCUAAGUUCACAAUGGUGUAAGGAGGUAUGGUAGGGCUCGCUGGCCAUUCGAUGGCAGCCCACUUAUUUGUUACCCCGUGUGGUAGACAAAUCCUAUGUUCCUAUAUUGAUUUUACCAAGGGUGGUAAGUCAAUGGUCACUAUUGAUUCUGUUCCUAUUUGUCCUCAGUUCACAAUGGUGUAAGGAGGUAUGGUAGGACUUGCUGGCCAUUCGAUGGCAGCCUUAUUGACAGGAGUGUCCUUAUGAAUUUGUGACCCUGUAUGGUAGACAAAUUCCAUGGUCCUUAUAUCUUGAUCCUUAUAUCUUGAUCCUUAUAUCCUGGUCCUUAUAUACUUGUUCUACCCCGAGUGGUAAGCAAGAUUUUGAUGGUGCAAAGAGGAUCAGCCGAAUUCACCUCACACAUGACCGAUCUCACACUUCAGUACCGAUGAGUAUAUAUUACUUUAUUUUAUUUAAAUGUUGAGUUCAGUUCAUUUAAUUCAGUUCAGUUAAAUUCUGUCCAUAAAAUUCAAUUCACUCCAUUUCAUAAAUUAACUGUUAUAUGCCUUAGAUGAUUCAUUAUUUGAGUUCAGUUCAUUUAAUUCAGUUCAGUUAAAUUCUGUCCAUAAAAUUCAAUUCACUCCAUUUCAUAAAUUAACUGUUAUAUGCCUUAGAUGAUUCAUUAUUUGAGUUCAGUUCAUUGAUACUGAAUAAUUGACAAGAAACUAACCAAAACAGAAGUCAUAAUCAAGAAAGUUGAAGAUUCAUCAAUAAAAUAAAACAUUCAUUCAUUCGAUUCAUCCAUAACAUUAACUAAUUACACAAAUAUAGAAACAUUGUUAAAAUCCAUAUAAAAAGUUUCAAACAAUCCCAAAGACAUAAACAGUUAAUUUUUACAUAGUCAGAAUAAAGCAGGAAGGACAUUCAGACACCACCUUCGCCCUCGGAGUUAAGAAGAUCCGGAUCCAGCUGAGCAGCAGAUAACUUUUCUUUACCUCGCUCUCGGCAGUCUUCAUACCCCUCUGAAUAGACCUUCAUGAUUUCGGCAUUAAGCUCAUCCGAAUCCCUAUAGUCCGUUUGAAUCUGCUUUCGCAGCUCUUCGGUCAGAAGAGGGCCCCGUCCCUCAAGCUCUUUUAUUUUAUGACGAAGUUUGUGACGCUUGACCUUAUGUCUUCGCUCCUCGUCCUGGGCCUUCGCCUGAGCCUCGCCAAGUUGAAUCGCCAAGUUUCGGUUGGCUGAAGAAAACUCCUCAUUUUUGGCCUUCAGGAGUAGAUUUUCUUCGACCAGGUCGGCGUUCAUAUCAGUUAAAACUUGUUGACUGGCUUCGGAUGCAGCCAGCCCAUCCCUUGUGGCCCUUAGCUCAUCGUCAGACGUCUUCAAGUCCAUCCUAGCUCGAUCUAAGUCUCUUUGAAGGCCGUCGAUGGUAUGAAGAGCGUCUUCGCGAUCAGCCCUUUUUUGAGCCAUGGUCGAUUUCAGCAUGUUGAUCUCCUGUCUCAUGAAAUCUUCCUCGGCCUCCCCAUUUAUGUGCCUCGGACGCAAACAUCCGAAGACAGCAUUGGCCUGCAUAUGUUCAACAGUGUUCAAAUCAGUGUUCAGAUAUCUAAACAAGAACAGAGAAAUAGAAAAUAAAGAAACUGUUAUUUACCUUAGCCAGAUAGCUCAUCCCCUCGUCAAGCAGAUUUCCAUCCGUAUGGUCGCUGAACCGGUGGUCAUCAGCGUUCCGGACGAAAGCUCCGAAAAGAUCGAAUGGGAAAUUUGCAUUGAAUCUAGGCCACAGAGUCGGGGAUCCCAUAGCCUCAGCAUGAUAACCCUGACCUGAAGGACCGGGUCGUUCGGGGGAGGGUCUCGGUCUUUCCGGAGAAGGGGCUGGCUGCUCGGGAGGGGUGGGGUCCGCAUAUACAGUUUCGGAAGAAGGAGAUUUAUUUGGAAUGGGUUCUCGGGGAGAUGGGGCUGAGGCAGAACUUGGAUGGCUGUCAGGCGUACGCUUCCUCUUCCUGGACAGCGUUGGAACAGUUUCGUCCUGCUCACCUUCUUCGGCAAUUUGUAUUUCUAUAGGCGGCACGAAGGGUGGGAUGAUCGAGGACUGGGGCACCCUGAGUUCUUCGGCGGUCAGGGGGGUUAUUUUGGUUUUUAAUUUCUUGGUUCGGAGGAUAUCUCUUCGAUCAGGACGAUCGAGCAAGCCUCCUCGUCGGGGGAUUGAUUUGGUGAUCGGCUCAGUUUCUGGGAUGGUUUCAGAAGGGCUGGAAAGAGGUGUUGAUCUGGGUUUUCUAAUGGCCCUCCUCUUCUAACGAGGAUGAAGGGUCUCUUCCGGUACAGGAACCUCAUUAGCUUCUGGCUCUUCUGUUCGGAAUUCAUCUGUGUGUAUUUUCGGGGUUGGCUCACCUUCGGGGAUAGCUACUAUUGGCAGACUCUCAACAGUUUCCGAAGACUUCCCAGACAAAAAAUCUUCAAACUCCUUUAUUUCUAAGGAGCUCGGUCUGAUCAAAGAUACUGCACGAAACAAACAGUCCUAUGUUAGAUUCCACAUCAUAAAAACAUUUUCAAAAAUUUAUAUAUAAAAUAGACCGAUACUUACAUUUAUGGUCAUAUAACCAUGCCUGCUUCGAGAGAAGUCCAUACUUCCACUCCUUCUUAGGAAAAUUAUCAAAAAUCUCCAUCAUCUCAACUUCCCGUUCUUCAGAAAUAUCUCCGAAGUCAGCAGAGAUCUUCUCGUCAGUGGCCCAGUUCGGUAAAGAAGAGAUUUCAGGACCUUUGACGAAGAACCACUUCUCGUGCCAUCCCCUAUUGCUCGAAGGAGUGUUCACCAACAAACGUCUCUCGAACUUUUCUCCCGACUUCGGAGAGUGUUUGCUGAGGGCCUUGAACCCCUUCUCUCUGGAUUGGACGAUCUUGUACACGGUGAAGAAGAAGUCGAGGGAAGGCUCAACGCCCAACUCAUGGCAGAAAGCAACAAAGGCCAGGAUGUGAAUAUAAGAAUUUGGUACCAAUUGGGCGAACCCCACGCCCAGGAACCCCAGUAUAGUCACUAUGAAGACGUGCAGAGGAAAACGGACCCCCUUCUCAAGCAGGGUCACAGGGACGGCUGUCCAACUCUCUGGCCGUUGGUACAUUUUCUCACCGGAUCUGGGAACCCUAACCGCGUGAGUAUCCGGAAUGUGGUACCGAGAUCGAAUCCUCUUUAAUUCAGCCUCAGUGACAAUAGAGGGAGUGUUGGCAUGCGAGAAACGAUCCGUAUUCCUGUAGUAUUCAGAAGGAAUUUUGGAGAUUUUUGGAGGAGGAUUCUUGUCGGUUUUCGUUCCUUUGGGGUUCGAGGUCGAGGUUCCUUCGCGGGUGUUAGGGUUUGGUGAAACGGCGUUGAUCGGUGUUACUAGGAGGGGUGAACUUUGUUCAGAAUCUUGGGAAGCCAUUUUUGACAGUUCGCAGAGGAGGACAGAUAGUUCAGAGAAGAAGAAAACUCAAAAGGCGCUCGAAUUUCAAAUGGGCAGGUAAAACUGUCAAAUUUGGUAAAGUUAUCUUUUAUACUGACGGUUACACGGUGUACAAGGCCGGCACAUUAAAUGAUAGUAAUGAUUUAGAAUUUGAAUGGGAAGCGUCCGGUUCCGGGUCCAGAUAUUUAUCAGGCAGAGCCUUUCUGAUUUGGGCCUCCGUUCUCCUCUCUUUUCAUCUCAUGAACAGUAACCGGGUACAUUUCGAUUACUUCUCACUAUGGACCUUUAGUAAAAUAUCAUGGACCAUUUAUAGUUUUCUAUUAAACAUUCCGUUCAACAAAAAACUAGGGGGCAAUGUUGGGUCAUGAUAUUUCCCCUCUUUGGGCCGAGUAGAUUGGGCCUACGUAUUUGAUUUGUUCAAUUGGGUCCUUAUUAUUGAGUCUUAAAGUUAUUGGGCCUAGUCAUUAUAUUAUUCCUGUUGGAUCCUUUUAAGAUCGGGUUGAUCAGUGGAUCGACCCAUUAGAUAUUUUAAUAUCUCUAUCUUUGACUUGUAAUGAUGAAAAAGUAUGACGGUUGACUAAAACACCUGCCAUGCAUUAAUGUGGAUGGGAUCAUAGCCGGCCGGCGGUAGAAACAGUGACCAAAAGUAGUAGGUAGACUACAUGCAGUCGGCAGAACCCAUCAGAUCAGGGGGCUGUGUCAGAUAGUAGUGGAUGGCACGAUAAUCUGGGCAAAGAAAGUAUAACCUAGCAAGGAGGUCUUCACAAACAGGUAUGACUUCAUUCAUAAUCACAUACACACAAUUGAGAAUUAUUUCUCUCAAUACACUAGACAUUACAUCCUCCAUUGUUAACCUUGUGAACACGUAUAUUGACUCUGACGCCUGAGCUAUCCCCCGACGGAACAACCGUCAAACUUGUGGUGUUUAUCCUGUUUAUUGUACAGGAUCAAAACGUCUUACGUGAUUGAAACGUGACAGAAGAUCUUGGCGUUAACAAUAUACAUGCAAUUGCUUUGUCUCCAAAAGUCGUCCAUAGAAAAAGACCAUAAAGUUUUCAUCGACAACGAAAGAACAAUAAACAUUACAAACAAAAGUUCCUUAAUUGAUUACCAUUCUCCUUAGCUUGUCAUUAUAACCACCUCAAAAACACGCUAAUCAACCUAGAAACAAAGCUUUUUCGUUCCUUUCCUAGCCUUAUUUUAUCCGGCCUAGUUAUUCAUGUUUUUAAUAUAUAUAUAUAUAUAUAUAUAUAUAUAUAUAUAUAUAUAUAUAUAUAUUGGGUUCCAUCUACAACAACCGAUUAUUGUAGAAUAAUCCCUUUUUUAGCAAGUUGUUGUAGCGGCCGGAGCAAAAAAAAUAAAUUAUAACAAACUAAUUAAAAAAGGGUUGCUCUACAGUAACCGGUUGCUGUGGAUGGAACCCCUAUAUAUUCACAUUAAUGUUUUAAUCCAACUUUAGUAAUUGUGCAUGAUUCUAGCAUGUACAAAGUUUUGAUCUUAGGGUACCUAGCUAGGUAAUAAUUUGCAGUUUAAUCCCGUUCAUCUUCGAAAAAGAGAAGAAUAUAUAGUACUUGCUUAACCUUUUAUACAUUUAUAAUUAAUCUCCUUUCUUUAUCUCUCAUUCAGAGUCUAAGCAUGGAUUCAUCAUCAUCAGCUGAGCCACCAUUUGAAGAGACAUACAAUGCUCUCUUGGAGGGCAACUCCAUUGAUGAUCAUGCAGUGGCAGAUACAGAUCUUGUGGAAGAGUGUGAGCUUCCAUUGAUUGAUCUUAGCAUGUUAAGCCUUGGAGAAUUGGAGAGAGAAGACUGCCAAAGAGAGAUAGCUAAGGCUUCACAGGAGUGGGGUUUCUUUCAAGUUGUCAACCAUGGAAUUUCUCCCGAGAUUUUGGAGAAAAUGAGAUAUGAACAAGUCAAUGUUUUCAAGAAGCCAUUUCAUGAGAAAGAAUUGUGUUUUCCGGCCGGAACUUACAGUUGGGGAACUCCUUCGGCUACUUGUCUCCGGCAGCUGUCUUGGUCGGAGGCUUUUCACGUGCCAUUGAUUGAUAUUCCAAACUUGGGUACUGGUCUCACUAGCCUCAGGUAAUUAUUUUCAAGCGAUUAUUAAUUUAAGAUAAGAACAAGAAAGUAAGGCAUAGGUAAGACCGUAAGAUUAGGCUAGAAUACAAAUGUAAAGGCCAAAAGGUUACAAAACUUAGAACACAAAUAUAUAGGAGAGUGAUAAAAAUGAAUGGCAUCCAAUUAUGAUUCAGCCCAUUCCAAGCUCUAAAGAUUGAUUUUGAUACCGUCCACACAAUAUUAGGAACAAUUGUGAAGAUUAGAUUUUAAUGGUAACUCACUAUCCACAUAACUUCUUUAGAUUUUUGAAGACUACUAGAUCUCAAUUGAAUCCUACAAGUGGCCAGUUUCAUUCAAAUGACUUCGGACUCAAUUGAGAUUUUUACUUAAAGAGUCAAAUUGAAAUUAAGUGACAACUUGACCAAACACUUUUACAUUUCGAUUAAAGAAAUAUUAAUUUAUACUUUACCCUAACUAAUUAAUUAUACCUACUUUUUAACAAUUUAUUUGUAUUUCUGCUUUGUAUUGAUCAUCGUGUAAUUAAGAUGAAUCCAUACUGCGAAAUAUAUGUAGUGCUCAAUCCCAUUACUUACACUAUAUUAUUAAGUUUUUAAAAGGUUGAAAAAGAAAAUAAAUUGAUGAAAAUUUUACGUCUAUAAAAGUUAUCCCUUUUAGUCGAGAUGAGUGUGCAUGGAGUAGACAUGCUUUAUCAUAAUUAGCACUCGAUAACAUAUACAUUUGCGUCUGUAAAUUAUAUGAGAUAAAAUAAUAAUUUUAUAAAAUUUGAAUUAUUAAAUAAAAAGAUAAAAAAAUUAAUAUAAAAAGAUAAAAAAAAUAAUAUAAUUAAAAUCGUAGGGCAAAUUAAGGAAGAAAAAUAUAUACUAUAAGACCAUUACACCUCUAACGUCAGCGGCUCAACAGAUCAGCUUUAUAUAUAAUAAGAGAUAACAACGUGUAUGUGUUUGGUACUUCACUAGUAUGAAACUUAAAACUAUGCAUAUAAAAGAUCUUUUUUAUAAAAAAAAAGUAAAAUAAAAUAAAAUCUCAAAAAACAGCUUGUAGAAUGGAUACUAUUUAGGACAUGUUCGGGAAUGACUUAUUUUAAAAUAAAUUAUAAAUAUAAAUUAUUUUAUAAGUUGUGAUUUAUAAAUAAAAAUGUUUGACAUAAGUUUAAGUUAAAAUAAGUUAUAAAUGUAUUCGGCUCACGAUGACUUAUAAGUUAAAAUAAAUGUAAAGAUUACUAAAAAUAACAUUAAUAAAAAGAGUGACAAAAUAAAUAUUACAUUUGGAAAAACUAACUUAUUUUAAAAUGAUUUAUAAGUCAUUUUUAAAUAAGUCACAAUUAAUUACUUAUUUUUUUUUGACUAAAAACUAACUUAAAAAUCAAAAUAUAAGUAAUUGUCAAACACCUUAAUAAUAAAAAAUAACUUAUAAACUAAUUUAACGAACAUAUAAUUUGUUCCUUAGUGUCGUGUGUUAUUUCACCUUUCCUUCCAAAUAUGAAAGUUUUGACACUGAAAGUAAGACAUUUUCCAAACACGAGCUGUGUAGUUUGGUGAUUUGAUGUUUUAAUUAGGCAUUUUGAGAAAUGACCAUGCCGUGAUGACGUAGAGGUGGCAAACAGGCGGGUGAGCGCGGGCCGGGCCAUGGCCAAAAAGACUCGGAUUUUUACGGGUUAAGAAAAGUAAGUUUAUAGUUUGCGGGCUCACGGGCGGGUCGGGUCGGUUCGCGGGCCGAAAGUGAUUUAUAUCUAUUUUUUGGUACUUUUUUGAGCCCGCAAAGCCCACGGACGGGCCGAGCCGGAUUUUGAACUGAUCGGGCCAAAAAGGCCCGAGUUUUUGUGAGCCAAAAAAAUGAGGCUCAAAGCCUUUUUUUGGCGGACGAACCGGACCGACCUGCGAGCUUUAGACCCGUUUAUCAGGUCUACAUGAUGGUUUGAGGGAUGUCAAAUCAAAAACUAUAAUGAAAUUUAAAGCAUUAGAGAUAGAGCCUAUUUAUUAUUCAAAAUAAAAUUCAAACCCAUGUAGCAUAAUGAAUUAGAGGCUCAGACGUGGUUCACGUGUUUGACCUCAUUACAACAUAUUUACUACAUGAAGGAAACACAGUGGACCACUGUCAACAAAUAGCAUACUAUAUCCACGUACGUACUAGCCUAAAGUACAAGUCAUGUCCUUCAAAAGUUAUUCUUCUUCUGUCCCACAACCCUGCCCCCUAGCAAUUUUCUUGAAAGAAGAAAAAGAAGAAGGAGAAGAAGAUAUUAUAUAUUAAUUAGCUACUACAAACUCCGUCCAUACACUUGCUAAGUUUUAUACUUAGCAUCGUGGACAGUCCAUUAGCCAUGGAAAUUAAAUUACUAUAAUGAAUUUUUUUAAUUAAAUGCAUGCUCAAAUUAAUUAAUUCAGCUCAACAAUGGAGCGAUUUGCCGCAACCGUUUCUGAUCUAGCACAAAAGUUGGCAGAAAUAUUGGCGGAGAAGAUGGGUCAUAGGUCGAGUUUCUUUAAAGAAAAUUGUGUCCCGAGCACUUGUUAUCUUCGAAUGAACAGAUAUCCACCAUGUCCUCCUAAGGUGUCCGGGCUGAUGCCACACACCGAUAGUGACUUCCUCACAAUAUUGCAUCAAGAUCAAAUUGGAGGAUUACAAUUAGUAAAAGAUGGGAAAUGGGUCGCGGUUAAGCCUAAUCAAGAAGUUCUAAUUAUCAAUAUUGGAGACCUAUUUCAGGUACGUAAUUAUGUACCUAGCUACAAUUUGAGUGAGUGCUAAAAUGGAUGCAUGGUAUAUACCGUAUUGUAUUUGAUAUUAUAUUUAUGGGAUAUUUAUUUAUUUAUUAUAAUCGAGACACACACUAUCCUUUUAAUUGUCAAAAUAUAUAUAAAUCUUGAGAGAGAUUUGGGAAGUUUGAUGCAUGCAUAUGCAUUUGUUGGUUUAAUAUAAUAUAAUUUAAGAUGAUGCAUGCAUGCAUGCAGGCAUGGAGCAAUGGUGUUUAUAAGAGUGUUGAACAUCGGGUUGUUACCAAUAAGCUAGUAGUAGAGAGGUUUUCUACUGCUUAUUUCUUCUGUCCAUUUUAUGAAACUCAGAUACAAAGUUGCGUGGAGCCCUCCGUGUACAGAAAGUUCAGUUUUAGAGAAUUCAGACAACAAGUCCAGCAAGAUGUUAAAAAAAUGGGUUACAAAAUUGGACUUCCUCGUUUUAUUAUAUGAAGCAACUGGAAUAUUUCAUAUUUGCCCAAAGUUAUCAGAUAUUAAUGUAUGUAGAAAAAGAAACAAAAAUGUAUAAAUAUAAUUUUGUUAGUUAACUUUGAGUCGUUUAUGGAUAAAGUAUAUGCACUUGAUCACGUCCUGAUUAAAAACAAGUGAGUUUUCCUGAUUAAAAACAAGUGAGUUUAGCUUUAAUGAUUGUAGUACUUUUUUAAAAUGUCAUUUUUGUCUUGAAAGUAUCAUAUAUAGCUUUAAUGAUUGUAUACUUUUUUUAAAUGUCAUUUUUGUCUCCAAAGUAUCAUAUAUAAAUAUUUGAUUGAAUUCUAGUUUAAUUUAAUUUCUAAUUCACUAUCUAAAAAAAAUCACACCAAAAUAUUGUGAACUUUGUUUCUCUUCGUUGCAAGCUAUUUAAUUUAUAUAUCUACUAGAAAAACAAGAAUACGUGACGGAAUUUUGUGGCAGUUUUUAAAAACUAUCACAAAAGAUAGUAAUUUGUGAUGGACUUUUUAAGCAAUCACAAAAUAAUAGUAUAUAUGAUGGCUCUUAGUGAUGACUAAUUUUGCCAUCAAUGUAUUAUAAUUGUGAUGGCCAUGUCAAUCACACCAAUUUUUUCACGCAAAAUAAAUUUUCUUUUUGUGACGCACUAAGUCAUCACUUAUAAAUAUACCCUUUUCGUGAUUGCGUUUAAGCUAUCACUAAUAUUUUAAUAUAAGAAAUAAUCAAAACAAUAUUUUAUGACGGUCGUGACAAUCAUUAAAAAGUUAGAUUUUUGUGACGACUUUUAUUUACAAUUACAAAAAGAAGGUAUUUUGUGAUGGAAUUUUCAAGCCGUCACAAAACAAUACAAUAUAUGAUGGCUCUUAGUGAUGACUAAUUUUACCAUUAUUAUAGAGUAUUUGUGACUGCCAUUGCAAUCACCAAAUCUUAUUUGAAAGUAAUUUUGUUUAGUAAGUCAACUCACAUAAGUUUUCUUUUAUAUUUUGUUAUAAAAUUAUAAUCAUGAUCUGGACUUUGGUGUAGUGGUAAUACUCGUUAUUUAGUUUGCAAAUGGGAGAGGGUUCGAAUCCUAUAAGUAUCAUUUGAUACAAUUAAUAUAGUGAAAUAAAUUAUACGUAAAUAGAGAUUCACGUUCUUACAUUUGAUCCCUAAAGUCUUGUUUUUUUUGUGAUGACUUUGACAAUCACAAUAGAUUAUAUGUUAAUGUGAUUGUAUUAAUCAUCACAAAAGCACUAAGCGUUUACGUGAUUGCCAAAACCAUUACGUAAAAUCUUUCAUGAUGGGCGUAUACAAGACGGCCAUUGUGAUGCUUAAAGUCAUCACGUAAACCUUUUGUGAUGAUUUUUCUAUUUUUUGUGAUGGAUUUAGGCCAUCACAAAUGACCAUUUUUUAGUAGUAUAUACUCCUUUCAUUCAAAUAUAUAAGAUCAUUAUUGAUUUUUUUAAAGUCACAAUUAUAAAAUAUUUUCAAAUUUAAAAUUGACAUGACUUAAUUUAAUUUUAGCAAUACAACGAUGAAAAGUUUAAACUAUCUAACAUCCAAGUACUAACUCAUUAUAAGAUUUAUUUUUUCAUAAAUUUAAUUCAAUCAUAUUAUAUACAUACAUAUAUAUAUAUAUAUAUUGAGAUGCAAAUAAUAAAUUUAAUAAUUUGUCAAGUAUUUAUGUCAAAAAAACACUUGAAGUACUCAAUCCAUGCAAUUACUUGUAUAUGUGACAAUUUAGAGGGACAAAAGUGUCCUUCAGCCAGUUUAAAAAAAAAGUAAAUUAGUUAAUUUAUCGUAGAAUAAAUUUAAGAGAUUGAUUAAUUUUAUCAACAACAUUCAGAAAAAAAUACAAUUUGAAAUAACAAUCAACACUAGCUAUAAAACUAAUUCGUAGUGCAUAAAACUUUAAAGUGUUGUGCUUUUUUAUUUUUUACGAAUUCUCCAACUUACCUAUGUACAAAUGAGAUGGCUACGAUAUAUAAUCACAUCUAUACGGCUACAUUCUCAAGGAUAACUCCAAUUUAAAGUUACCUCAACUUGCAUUUCUAAUUCCUUAUAAAAUAAAUACGACCCAAGAAAAAUAAAAGAUGCAAAUAUUGUCAUAGUAUGGCAAUCAUUAAAAUUUUAUCAUCCAUUAAACUAAAUAAAAUCAAGGCUAGGGCGACAAAAAAAACUACAAAUUAAUAAUUACCUACAUGUCCAAGAAAAAAAGAAAGGACAAUCAUCUUGUUAUGCACAUGUACAUCAUCAUCAAUUUCAUACUAUAUGUUAAUUUAUCCAUCUGCUAGCCAUUUGUACUCAUUUUUAAGAAUUACUAAUAAUGCUCAAAAUUGCAAUCAUGGAAAAAAAACUGUAUCAUAUACAAAAUGCAUUCUCUUUCAAGAAUAAAAGAUUACAAAGAUCCAUUUGUUUUUCAUCUUGAUUAUUUUCUAUGAAAAUACAAUCAAAGAUUAAUUUGUUAUAUUAGUUUACAUUCUAGGCAUUAUGGAAUACUUUAUGUUUCUUUUUGACAUUUCAUCAAACAUGUAAUGUGCACAUCAUAGAAUCUCACAACAUAUAUUCAAUUUGCAGCAAGCAUCUACAAAACAAUAUAUAAGCGUACAUAAUAACAUAUAUACAAUUAUAAAUGUCAGAAACGUCAGAAGACCAAACCUUGUUACCAUUGUAGAAUUCACCCCCAUAUAGUAUCAAUUUUGUCUCUUUCAAAGGAUUAAUAGUUAACUACAGAAAUCAUCAAAUUAAUUUUUAAUUCACUAAAUCCAAAUUAAUUAGAACUACUCAUACCGAGCAAUUGGAUCGAGGAGAAGGCUCUCUUUUCAUUUCCUUAUCAACAAAAACUCAUUGCAAGUAAUAUGAAAAUUAGAUAUACAAAUCAAAUCAGAUGAAGAAAUCAAAAUAUAUGGAGAGAGAAGAAAAAUAGCUCACCUCUUUUUUGUUGCUACAAUACCCCCAAAUGUCAUAUUUAUUUAUACUUACACAUUCAAAAAAUCCUAGAUCGCGCAUAUUCACACUGUGAAAACCAAAUCAAGCAAUCUUGUUUGACCUGCAUGAUUAGAUGGUUCCAUAAGUUGCAUUAAUUUCGUGUUCCCUUUGUUGCACAAUUUAAACAUUCAGUUGAAUUUGUAAAGUACAUCGAAUCAUUAAGCCAUAUCAAGGUAUUACGGAGAUGUAUAGCUACGACAACUGUGAGACCCCAGAUUUUUUGACUAAAGAUUAAAUUUUCUCGAAAUAUAUUUUUGAAUAUUAUGGUGUGGAUUUGAUAUAAUGUUAUAGUUGUGAGUAAUAUUUACAAAUUUUGCAAAGUACGCAAGUUGUUAUAUAAUAUUCGAUUGGUCAGAGAAUAUUUAUUUUAACAGGGAAUAUUCGUACAACGGCACAAUCAUUGGUGGACCCCCACAACAGAAUUAUUGUCGGAUUGAGAAAACGACAAAAAUACUUUAUGAAAAUAACGGCGGAAGUUUUGCCGUUAACUGUUGAAUCACCCGGUGUUAAAAGUACAGUAAUAUGCGUGGUUGCAUAGUAGCACACGGUAUUGAUUAUUGAUGCUUACAUGAGAAGUCACUCAGUUAUACUCAAUUAUUGCUACAGUAAUUGUUGCAUCAUAUCUAUCAUAUUAUUGAUUCAAUUAUUGUCACAAUAUCAUCUGCAUAAAAUGUUUUUAUUAAAUCAAUACUUAAGACGACAAAGUUAUUCAUAUUAUAAAUUGCAAUAUUUACAAUGUCUAGAAGUUCUGUCAAGGAGAGGUUUGGUCACCUAAUUGCGCGCCAAUAGGGAGAAAUCCUUAUUGGAAAGCCCCCACUUUCCUAGGAACGAACUGGUUGAUAAAUAUUAUGAGUUAUAAUAUUAAUAAUGAAUGUUGUUCAGAGUUGAAUUUGGAGACGCGGACGUGAUAUUUGAGUCCAGAACGACGAAAUUGGUAAAAAUAGCCUAUAAACACAAAAUUUUCCGGGAUUCACUAUUUGGUCAAAAAGUCAACAGUUGACUUUUUCGAGAAAAGUCAAACUUUGAAAUUUUAAAAUUUAUAUUUUUAAUAAAAAUAGUUUCAUUAUGUUGGAAUUAUUUGUGUUAGUGAAAAUCGACAUUUAUUUCGAUAAAAAUUGAUGUCUGGAGGUUAUUUUGACCAAUCGGGUAUUUAACCGGAUAAAUGAGCAAUUGAUUGCUAUUAUUUCACAUGAUUAUAACUAUUUAUUCACAUGUGUAUACUAUUGUUUCACAUUCUUGUUACUAUUAGGGGAGUUAGUGCAAGAUUGAUAAUACUUACAUGACUAAGUUAAAAAUAGAUGUAUAGAUGGAGGUACUAUACUGUAAUUCGUAUUUUUACAUGUUUAGAACUAUUGAUUCACAUGAUUUACUAUUGAUUCACAUUAUUUACUAUUAGGGGAGGUGGUGUAAGUUUGAUAAUACAUGCAGAACUAAAUUAAAAAUGAAAGAAAAGUUGGAGGUAUUGUUCUGUAAUUUUUCGAGCCCCAAAAUGUGCAAUUAUCGAAACUAUAUUUUUCUAUAAAUAGAAGCUCAUUCUUCCUUCAUUUCUCACCAAUUCACUAAAGCUAUAGAGCACUUAUUAUAGAGAGAAAUUAUAGAGAGAAGCUAUAGAGAGAAAAUCUAUAGAAGAAGAGAAGCCUGCUACUUCACUACUCCUAUAUCCAGUUUCUUUUACGGUAAGGGGUGUUAUUUCUUUUGUAUUCAAGAAAAAAACUUCUGUUAUUCCAUUCUUUAUUAUUCUAUUGGAAUAACCUGUAUACGCGGGCUACCCUAUAUUUGGUGACAUUCUUCUAUUAUUCCGUCUUUAUUAUUCUGUUGGAAUAUCCUGUCUGUGAGUUUUACGCCGGACCUGAUUCCGUCUUUAUUAUUCUGUUGAAAUAUCCUAUCUGUGCGUUUACGCCGGACCUGGUUCCAUCUUUAUUAUUGUUAUGUUGGAAUAUCUUGUCUGUUCGUUUACGCCGGACCUGGUUCCGUCUUUAUUAUUCUGUUGGAACAUCCUGUCGGUGCGAAUUUCGCCUGACCUAGUUCCGUUACUUAUUAUUCUGUUGGAAUAACCUGUCUAUGUGAAGUACCGCAUGCAUGGUGAUUUCUUUUGUUAUUCCAUUCGUUAUUAUACUCAGUUGGUUAAAGUUUUGACUUCUAUACUCCAUGAAAUUAGUGGAAUAUCCUUGAUAUUUGCGCUUCAUCCAGUAUCUUUUCAUGGAAAUAUUCUUCUGAGCAUUCUUGAAUUNNNNNNNNNNNNNNNNNNNNNNNNNNNNNNNNNNNNNNNNNNNNNNNNNNNNNNNNNNNNNNNNNNNNNNNNNNNNNNNNNNNNNNNNNNNNNNNNNNNNNNNNNNNNNNNNNNNNNNNNNNNNNNNNNNNNNNNNNNNNNNNNNNNNNNNNNNNNNNNNNNNNNNNNNNNNNNNNNNNNNNNNNNNNNNNNNNNNNNNNNNNNNNNNNNNNNNNNNNNNNNNNNNNNNNNNNNNNNNNNNNNNNNNNNNNNNNNNNNNNNNNNNNNNNNNNNNNNNNNNNNNNNNNNNNNNNNNNNNNNNNNNNNNNNNNNNNNNNNNNNNNNNNNNNNNNNNNNNNNNNNNNNNNNNNNNNNNNNNNNNNNNNNNNNNNNNNNNNNNNNNNNNNNNNNNNNNNNNNNNNNNNNNNNNNNNNNNNNNNNNNNNNNNNNNNNNNNNNNNNNNNNNNNNNNUGAAGGCUAACGAUAAAUUAUUCUGCAUUAUCUUAGUCUUAAUAUUUCUUACUGGGCUAGUUGAGCUCACCCUUUCUUUCACUGUUCUCUUCAGGAAAUGAGAACGUAGCUGGGACUAGUCGGGGAACAGAGUGAUGGUCCUAGAUGGUGCAUUAGUAGUCCUCACUAUUCUGUGAAAUAGUGUGAUACUAAUUGUAAUGAGGACUCCUUUUGAGUUUGUAUAAUCUCUAGUAGACAAUAUUUGUAUUUAAACUCACAGCUCAUGUUGUAUAUUUAAGAUUGUAUUUGUAUUCUGUACCAUGUAUUUGGCGACUCAAAAUAGGUGAUGUAUUCCUGUUUUGGGGGCGUCACAACAACAUGUUUAGGAAUCACUGCAAAUGUGGAGAAAACUUAAUUUGUGAACAGAAUUACAUAUUAAAAAAAUUCACACAAGUAUAAAAACGAAUAAAGCAUGAUCAAAUAGUAAGUACCUACCGUGAGGCAUGUUUGACAUAUUUCGAGAAGCACCUUCCUCGGUAAUGAUCAACAACUCCACUUGGCCACAAUCCUAGUAGAAUUUCACCAUGUAAUUAGUGUCUUUCUAUUUUUAAGAAUAAAGUACUUGAUUAACAUGCCAUCAACAUUAUAAUGGAACAUUUCAGCCAAUUCUUGCUUGAAAGCACUCAACUGAAUUUACUGAUCAAGAUCAAUUGGAUACGCCUCCCCACCUUUUUUAAGGCAAAGACUCAUCUUUUCCCAUCUCAAAAUCACCCAAAGACUGACAUAUAGCUAUAAUUUUCUUUGUGGUCAUCUUUGAGACAAUAAAAUUUACAAAAAUUUAUCAAGUUAAACCAAGUCUUAUAGGCUACAAUUCAAUUGAUCGUAAUCUAAGUAAAGCAACGAAACUUGUUCACAAAAUGGGUGUCCUAAAAUACGUAUCAUGAAAUUUAGCCUACAUUCACGAAUUAAUUACUUAACUACAGAAAUCAUCAAAUUAUUCUUCAAUUCACAAUAUGAAUUACUUAAUUCCAAAUUAGAACUGAAUUAAACUAAUUAUACCAAACAAUUGGAUCGAGGAGAAGGCCUUCCUUCCAUUUCCUUAUCACUGAAACAAAAACUCAUUGCAAGUAAUGUGAAAAUUAGUUAUACAAAUCAAAAUGUUCAAAUAGAAAUAUCCAUUUGUUUUCAUCUUUUCUGCAUAGCAAAACAACAAUCAACAUAUAGUCGUCAUAUAUAAUUUAGUUUAUUUAAUGCAAACCUUAAAGUUCAAUAAAAAAUUAACGAAGGGUACUCGUUACCAAAAAAAGGUAGUAAUAAGUUACAAUACCUGAAUAUUGAUCCUCAUUACCAAACUGUAAUUAGAUAAAACGGUGACAAAAGUUCAUGUAUAGUGUUGUUCCUUUGCUUUAUCAUGUAUACAUACAUGCCUUUAAGCAGUGUAAAUUUAUUGUUGUCUACAGUUUCCAUCAGUUUGAUGAUGAGAUGGAGAUGAGAUCGUUGGAAUCGAGAGACGAUUUGAGGGAAUUUACAGAGGAGGAAGAAGAGGAGGAGGAGAAGAAGAUCAAAUCGAUUGAUUCAUUAGAGAUCAAGAGAUGAGAGAUGUGAUUUAUAGAGGAGGAGAUGAAGAGAUGGGUAAACCAACAGAGAUUGGAUUUAUAGAAAUUGAUGGAAAUGAUCGAAAAAGUCAACCGAAAGAGGAAAAAGAAUCGAUUUAUGGGUGUGUUUUCUAAUCGACCGAGUUAACUCUUAAUUAAUUAAGAGUUGACUUGAUGAGUUUUUCAAUUAAAAAGAUCAAUUGUCCAGCCUUUAUAUAUAAGUAUUGAUUUACUCAAAAAUAAAAUAUUAAGGGACAAACUUUAAAAGGAUAAAUAUUACUGGAAACAAAAUAAUAUACACCACUUUAAUAUAUAAAAUAUAUAAAUGGGUUGGGCCAAAUAAUGUAGAACAUUUUCUCAUUAUGAUCAUCAAAUGUUGAAUUAAUUCGGCUUUUAUUCAGUUGUUACUUCCUGAUCCAAUAUCUAGCAAUACGAUAACUUGGGUUGUUUUUUUAAGACUGGGCCUUCCUUCAGUUCUCGAUGCCAAACUACAGCCGUUACAAAUUCAAGAAUUUAUAUUUAUAAAAUUAUUUUGGUGAUAAAAGAUUAAAAAUAAAAUUAUAUGAAUUGUAGUUAUUGGUUAUAACUAUUAGACUAAUUUUUAUAUAGAAAAACAUUUAUUAAUUAUAAUCUGACAAAUCAUAUUAUAUCCACUCUUUUUGUACCAUCUUUAAUCAUCAAAUCAUUACUCGUUUUCAUAAAGAGCUCUUCUUCUUCUAAGUGGAUAUGAAUAUAUCCGAAUUUUACCUAUUUAUAUUUUUAACCAUCAUUAGGAUCAAAAUAUAAAUAAGUAAAAUUUAAAUAAAUUCGUAUCUAAUUUUUAUGUCCACAUAUAAUUUUUGUUUCAUAAAUCCACACGAGCUUGCCUUAUUUAAUAGAUUUGGAUAUGGCAAUGACGGUAGGCAAGAAUGUGCAUCCAACCACAAAGUAUUAGUUUGGAUUGCAUAGCAAAAAUCUCCCAUCCUCUCGCCCCAUUUAUGGCCUCUCGAAAAAACUCCUUCAAGAAUUAAUAUUUUUGAGAGUUUGUGUAAUAAAAAAUAUUAAUUAUUUAAUUAUAUUUGCAAUAAUAUAAUAUUGGUCAAAAUAUAUUUAGUUUACCGUGUACUACAACGUUUUUAUACAUUUAUUGAAUAUUAUUACAUAUAAUAUUUUUUAAUCCCCAAACAUAUUUUUUUUGAAGGAAGGCAUUUCACCCUUUUUUUUUAUCGGUAGGGCAGUUUUAGUAUCAAGGGAGUAGAAAAUAAGACUACACCGACACUUCCUCUAUAUAAUGGUAAUAAUACUCGUAUCCCCUCUAAUUUUUAAGUAAUUAUUAAUACCUCUCUAAAUUUUUAAAGUUGAUUAAAUAGAUAAAAUUACGUAUUUAUCCUUGUAUAUUAUUAAAUUUUAAUUCCUGAAUAUAUAUAUAUAUAUAUAUAUAAUUAUAUGUUUUUUUAAUACAAUACAUUUUAAUUAUAGUUUUAUUUGUAAUUAAGACUAUCUCAUUUAAAUUAUUGGUAACUUAUAAAAAAAACUAAUUUAGUUUAAUUAGCACACAUUUUUGGAUAAGUGAUAUAAAUAUUAAAAAUUUUAAAUUGUUCUAAUUAAAGUGAUUGAGUAUGUUGAUAGUUUAGUUUUUGGUGUUUAAUAACAAAAAUUAUUAUUUGAAUUCUUAGUUUUUAUAUGUUAAAUUUUCUUGAGUAUAUGUCAAAAUUUGGGAUUUUUAUGAUUUUGAUUACAUUUUUAGCAUAUAAUUGGUGUUGUUUCUGUGCAAUGUUGAAUAAAAUAAAAUAUAGUAAUAUUUAUUAACACCUCUAUCUUGUAAAAAGAUUUUUUCUUUAGUAUAUUUUUUUUCUUAUUUUUAGCAACAACAUUUCUUAUUUUUACUCUAAAUAAUUAUGCAUAAGUGUGACUUAUGUUUAGUUUAAUAUUUGAGAAAAUAAUUAAUAUAAUUUUUAAUUUUUUUAUUUGAAUAAUAAUAUUCGUUCUGUAAUAAUAAGUUUGUUUUAUGUAAAUUUUAAAAUUUGGAUAAAAAAAUUAUAAUUUUUAUUUAUGUGUUAAUUUGCACUUUUUAUGGUUAUUAAAAUUUUACUUUUAGUUAAAAAAAUAUUUAAAUGUAUAUUACAUAAAUUUUAAUAUUUGAGAAAUUUAGUUUGCAAAAAGUGUAUGACUUUAUUUUUCUGAUAAAAUGAAUAUUUAUUAUUUUUUUAUAUUAUGUUAUUUAUUGCACAAAUUCAUAAUUUAAUUAAUUAUAUUAAGUUGAGUAAAAAUUAUAAUGUACAAGUUUAUAUUUUAUAGAUAUAUUAAAUAUUAUAAGUUUUAGAGUUUAUUAGACAUUAUAUUAAAAAUAUUUUUAAAUAUUAAUUGGUCGUUCACAUAGUGAAUGGUGUCUAAUUUUUAUGUUCAAUUUUUAUAUCCACCUAAAUAAGUGACGUUUUAGAAGAAAAAAUUUAUUUUAAAUUAUCUGUCGGUUACAACUUUUUAUGAGAAUAACUUAUUUACUUUUCUAUAUCACCCUUAUCUUCUCUCAUUGUCCCAAGAAAUUCUCACCCUUAGUAUUAAUAGUUUUAAAUUUCUCAUAAAGGGGUAGUGAUGGAAUUUGUCAUAUAUUUUAAUUAUUAAAUGAUAAUAUUAAAUGAUUUUUUUAAUUUAUGUACAAAAAUCUUAAACCACACUUGAAUUUAGGAAUUUAGGAAUGGAGUAUAAUUUAAAAAACUAAAGAGAUACGAGUAUUAAUAGUAGCGAAAACUAAAAAUAGAAAGUUGAAAAUGAUGAUAGUUUCUUCCACCUCAGACCUCUCGAACCGCCUUCCAGCUUCAACCCCAAUCUCGGCCAUUACGGAACCUAAGCCCAAUCCUAAAGCUCCUACUUUCUCCACCAACCAGACCGCCUCCGAGCCUUCAUCUGACCCACAGUCUCGCAAGCUCAAGGGAAGCCCUCAGCUAAAACGGUGGUCAAGGGCUCGAUUCAUUCGGUCCGGCCGGAAAUUGGACCGCUCGCUUCAGCGGACCCAGACCUGGGAGAUGAUGGACUCUCCAGUUCGUGCUACAGAGAUAGAAUCGAGUUUUCUCUCUCCUCCGACAGACGGCGCGGAGGUAGCGGAAGAGAAGGUGGGAAAGUCUAUAUACAUGGUGUCGGACGGAACGGGAUGGACGGCGGAGCAUGCAGGCUGCUUUGGGUCAGUUUGAUUACUGCUUGUUGGAUCGUGGCUGUCCCGUUAAUACGCACUUGUUCUCCGGGGUAUGCUCGUCCUUUCAUUCCAUAUGAUAUUUUUCAAUUAUUAUCCUGUAGAGUAAGCACCAUAGUAUAGUACAAUUCAUUUCACUUAAUUAUGAUUAUAAAUAAUGGUGAUUGGUGUCACAUGUGUGCAUGUUCAUCAUAAUUGUUAACGCCAAGAUCUUCUCCAACGUCCCAAUCACGUAACAUGCUUUGAUCCUGCACAGUAAACACGAUAAACACCACAAGCUUGACGGUCGGACCGUUGGGAGAUAGCUCAGGCGUGAGAGUCAGUAUAUGUGUUCACAAGGUUAACAAUGGAGGAUGUAAUGUCUAGUGUAUUGAGAGUGAUAAUAAUUCUCAGUUGUGUGUGUGUAUGGAUGUGAACGUACCUGUUUGUGAAAACUUGGUUGAUAGAUUGUACUCUCUUUGUCCGGUUUACCGUGCCACCCACUACCUCUGACACAACCCCCUGAUCUGAUGGGUUCUGCCGACUACAUGCAGUCUGUCCACUACUUUUGGUCACUGUUUAUGCCGCCGGCCGGCUAUAAUUCCAUCCACAUUAAUGCAUGACAGGUGUUUUACUCAACUGUCAUGCUUUUUCAUCAUUACAAGUCAAAAUAAUAGAUAUUAAAAGAUCCAAUGGGUUAGUCCAAUGAACCGACCCGGUUUCAUAGGAUUAAAUAGAAGUAAUAUGGUGACUAGGCCCAGUGGCUUUCAAGGUUCAAUAAUGAAGGCCCAAUAGAUUAAUUAAAAUAAGUAAGCCCAAUUUGCUCGGCCCAAAGAGGGGAAAUAUCAUGAUUUUUUAUUGAACAAAAUGUUUAAUAGAAAACUAUAAAUUAAUGGUCCAUGAUAUUUUACUAAAGGUCCAUAAUGAGAAAUAAUCGAAAUGCCCGGUUAUGGUUCAUGAGAUGAAAUGAGAGGAGACCGGAGGCCCAAAUCAAAAAGGCCCUGUCUGAUAAAUAUCUGGACCCGGAACCGGACGCUUCCCAUUCAAAUUCUAAAUCAUUACUAACAUUUAAUGUGCCGACCUUGUACACCGUGUAACCGUCAGUAUCAAAGAUAAACUUUACCAAUUUUGACGGUUUUACCUGCCAAUUUGAACUUUGAACCUUUGAGCUUUAUUCUUCUCUCUAGAACUUCUUUCCCUCUCUCUGCGAAAUCUCAAAAAUGGUGGUCCUGAAUACCAACCAGAGUUCUCCUCUCCUAGUGACUCCCAUUAACAUCGUUUCCCCCAAUCCAAACCCUGAUCAAGAGGGUUCGAGUUCAAAUCCCCAGUCCACAACAACUAUGGGGAAGAAUCCGCCCUCGAUACCUUCUCUGCCACCUACUGACUUCUUUAAAGAUGGGGAACAGUUUCCUCAUGCCAAUACCCCCUCUACUGUUACGGAAGCUGAGAUACGUAUCCUCCGGACUCGCUAUCAGAUUCCGGAUAUGUACGCAACAAGGGCUCCUGCUCCCGAAGAACGCAUGUACCAUCGACCGGAUGGUUGGGUCGCUAUGCCAGUUACUUUUCUCGAAAAGGGAAUUCGCCUACCCCUCCAUGCCUUCGUCGUUACCCUCCUAGGGUUUAUAGGAGUGGGAUUUGCCCAGUUGGUUCCUAAUUCCUAUAUCCAUAUCCUGGCAUUCAUUGCCUUCUGUCACGAACUAGGGAUUCCUCCAUCUGUUGACAUUUUCUUUACCCUCUUCUCAGCCGGUAGAUCCCGAGAACGAGGUUUCAAAAUGUUGAGCAAACAGUCUCCUCGACCCAACGCCAGAUUUGAGAAGAGACCCCUGAUGGAUACCCCUUCAAGCAACAAGGGUUGGCACGAAAAAUGGUUUUUCGUUACAGGACCUGAAAUCUCUUCUCUUCCCGAUUGGACUAUCCCUGAUCGGAUCUCUGCUGACUUUGGAGAUAUCCCCGAAGAGCGUGUGAAGGAAAUGGCAGAUUUUUUGAAGAAGAUUCAUCCGAAGGAAUGGAGUUUUGCACUUCUGACUAAGCAAGCCUGGUUAUAUGACCAUAAAUGUAAGUUUCGAACAACUUUGUAACACAGUUUUUUGAGGUAUUUAAGUGACAUGGGUUCUGAUACAUGGUUAUUUGCAGUGUCUUUGAUCAAACCAACUUCUUCGGAAGUAAAAGAGUUGGAAGACUUCUUGGCUAGGAAAACCGUGGAUGCAAGUGAAGAGCCUCUGACUGAAGAAUCUCCCCGAGUUGAUCCCCUCAUUACCGAUCCACCUACUGUUUCUCUUCGGGAUGACGAACCCCAAACUGAUGAACCCAUUGUUGUUGAAGAAUCUCUUAGGCCUCGUCGAAGAAAAAAAGCCGCCAAUAAAUCUAAGUCCACCCGGCCGGAAACAAAUCCUGAGAGCGAUCCGGAAACAAUUCCAGAAGCAAUUCCACAAGCAAACCCUUCAUCCAACCCUAGUUCUGUACCUUCUGAACCUGUUCCGAUUAAGAGAAGCCUACUUGACAUACCUCUACACGAUCGGGCGAAGGUCCUCCGUGUUAAGAAGUUAAGAACAAAGAUUACUCCAUUGACUGCCGAUGAGCUCCGAGUUCCAUCGUCUUCGACUGACAUUCCCCCAAUAAUCCCAGCUGAAAUUCAAGUGCCUAAUGAUGAGCUGGUCGAAUCUGUCCCCAUCUUAUCUCGAAAAAGUAAACAACCAUCAGAUAGCCAUCCAGGUUCAUCCUCUGCUCCCUCACCAGUCCACGAACCUAAUCCUGUUCGAUCUCCCUCUCCGAAAAAUAUAUAUGUGGAUCCCUCGCCAGUUCGCAAUCAGUCCAUGUCCUCUCCUCCAAGACAGUCAACCUCUGAAUUCCAGCAUGAUGCUAUGGCCUCUCCAACCAUGUGGCCUCGAUUUAAUGCCAACUUCCCCUUCCAAUUGUUUGACGCUUUCGUCCGUGAGACCAAUGACCAUCGAUUUGGGAACAGUUUGAACAGGGAUUUGCUUAACGAAGGCAUGAGCUAUCUGGCAAAGGUAAAUGGUUCUCUUUUUAACUUACGUAUUUAUCUUCAUACUUAUACAGUUGAAACUGAUCAAAUAAUGCUGUGUUCGGACGUCUGUGUCCAAAGUCUAUCGACGCUGAAGCCGAAGAAGAGGCAAUGAGAAAGGAGAAUGACAUCCUGAAGUCUGCUCUGGCUCGGGAAAGGACUCAACGUGAGAGCGUUCUUCACACAAAUGAAGGUCUUCAGAAAGAGUUGGCCCAAGCCAAAGGAGAUGUGAAGACAUCCAAUGAAGAACUGAAGUCAACUAAAGCACAAUAUGAGGAGAUCGUCAAGAUGAACGUUGAUUUGGUUCAGAGGAGCGAAAUAAGGAUGGAGAAGAUCAAAGAGUUAAAGGCUGAUGCUAAGAUCUUGACUAAAACGAUCCAAAAGCUAGAGCUAGCAGAAACUCGUCAUCUGAAUAAGCGUCAGAAGCUUGAAGAAGAAAUCCGAGAACUCAAGGCUCUUCGGGACCUUGGGCCUCCUUUGACCGAUGAUCUUCGGAAGCAGAUCUGUGAAGAGUAUCGGACAUCGGAUGAGAUUAACGGAGAGAUCAUGAAGAUAUAUUCUGAAAGCUAUGAGCUCUGCCGGAGUCGUGGCAAGGAGAAGUUGAUUACAGCUAACGUGGAUCCAACUUUGCUCGACUCUUCAGAUGGCGAGGAUGAUGCAUGAAGUGAAUACUCUUGUCUUUCCUGGAUUUUAUUUAAGAAUAUUUGUGAAAAUUUCUGUUAUUUUGGAAAUUGGUUAAGGAUUUUGUUUUAAAAACUUUUACCAUGACUUCUAUUGUUCUGAAAUUAUGUUGGAAUUUAUGUUUCUGCACAAUAGGUUUAUCGUUAUGUACGAAUCAGACUAAUAUUUAUUAAUGAAUUUUUCAUUGGUUAUGUCCUGACUUCGGCAUAAUACUUUUCGUUUCUUGUCAAUAAUUCAGUACCAAUGGACUUGAAUGAACUGAGCUUAAAUUGUGAAUCAGUUAAGACAUAUAACAGUUAAGAAUGAAAUGAAGUAAACUGAAUUUAAUGAAUAGAAUUUAAUGAACUGAAUUGAAUGAACUGAACUCAACACUUGAACAAAAUAAAGUAAUGUAUACUUAUCGUUUUCGAAGUGUGAGAUCGGUCAUGUGUCAGAUGAAUUCGGCUGAUCCUCUUUGCACCAUCGAAAUUUUGUUUACCACUCGGGGUGAAACAAUUAUAUAGGAACCAAGAUAUAAGGAUCAUGGAAUUUGUCUACCACACGGGGUCACAAAUUUAUAGGAACACUCCUGACAAUAAGGCUGCCAUCGAAUGGCUAGCAAGUCCGACCAUACCUCCUUACUCCAGUGCAUUUUGUUUACCACUCGCGGUAAAUCAAAAUUAAGAGGAUCAUGGAAUUUGUCUACCACGCAGGGUAUAACAAAAUCAUAAGGACACUCCUUCCGAAGAGGCUACAAUCGAAUGGUCAGCGAGUCCACCCCGUCCUCCUUACUUCGGUGAACUAUUGAUUUACCAUCCUCGGUAAAAGCAAUAUAAAGGAACAUAGGAUUUGUCUACCACGCUGGGCAACAAAUAGAUAGGCUACUAUCGAAUGGCCAGCGAGUCCGACCAUACCUCCUUACACCAUUGUGAACUUAGGACAAAUAAGAAGAGAAUCAGUUGUGAAAAAGUGAACUUUUAUAGAUGGUGAACAAUCAUGUACAGACUUCUUGGUAAACUGACUCGAUCUCUACUGGAAAUAUUUUCGAAGCCUGCCUGCAUGCCAAGUGUUCUUGAUCUCGGAUCCAUCUAAUGCUUUUAAAUAAUAAGUCCCUGGCUUUGGUAUUUCGAUCACCUCAUACGGCCCUUCCCAGUUCGGCAUUAACUUUCCUGUGUUUUGAGGCGUAGACGCUUCGGCUUCUCUGAGGACGAAGUCUCCUACUUCGAAUCUGCGAAGUUUAACCCCUUUGUUGUAAUGCUUAGCUACUCUUCGUUGAUAAGCAGCCAAUUUGAGCAAAGCUACCUCUCUGACUUCUUCUAGCAGAUCCAAGUUGGCCUUCAGUCCUUCGUCAUUGUAGAUCUCUUUGAAUUGACUGACCCGAAGACUUGGAGAUCCGAUUUCGACUGGGACUAAGGCAUCAGUACCAUAGGCCAAUCGAAAAGGUGAAUCCCCUGUGGUGGUCCUCGGUGUAGUCCGGUAAGCCCACAGCACGCUGAGCAGUUCUUCUGGCCAUCUUCCUUUAGCUUCAUCCAGUCUGCGCUUGAUCCCGUUCAGCAGCGUCCUGUUGGUCACCUCGACUUGCCCGUUCGACUGUGGAUGAGCCACCGAAGUCUUCUUGUGCUGAACCCCCAGCUCCUUCAAAAAUCCUUCAAAUUUUGAUCCCACGAACUGGCGUCCAUUGUCUGAUAUCACCACUUUGGGAAUUCCGAAGCGAAAUAUUACGGACUCUUUCAUGAACUUCAAACAUUCCUGCUCUGUUAUCAACCGAAGUGGCUUCGCCUCUACCCACUUGGUCAUAUAAUCAAUGGCAACUAUAACGAAACUGACCUGCCCUUUCGCUUUCGGCAAUGGACCCAGUAUAUCAACCCCCCAGACAACAAAGGGUAUAGGAGAUAGAAUCGAGUAUAGCUCUUCUGGUGGCUGAUGUGGGAUCGGACUGUUGAGCUGACACUUCUCACACUUCUUCACGUACUCGGUAGCUUCCUUGAAGAUCGUUGGCCAGUAGUACCCUUGCCGAAGAACUUUGUAUGCUAAUGACUUAGAAGCCAUGUGAUCGCCGCAAAUGCCUUCAUGAACUUCCCAAAGGGCAUACUCAGCUUCAGACGGAACCAAACACUUCAAUAGCGGUGACGAAAAUGCCCUUCGAUAAAGAUCCCCAUCAAUAAGAACGAAGUUGACACUCUUGUACUUGAUCUUCUUUGCCAGCAUCUGAUCCGAAGGAAGGACGCCAUCUGCCAAAUAUUCGAUGUAGGGAGUCAUCCAGCAGUUAUAUCGCUCGAUACACAUCACCGCUUCAUGCUGAACACUCGGCUGCUGCAAAACUUCCAAAUAAACCGAUCCGUUGAAAACAUCUGCAUCCGUAGUGACCAGCUUCGACAGUGCAUCGGCAAUGGAAUUGUCGUUACGCUCUAUGCCCUGAAACUCAUAAGAAGCGAAAUACUAAAGUCGGUCUUUUAAUUCUGCCAGAUACUUGAUCAUCCUGGUCCCACGAGCUUCAUAAUCUCUCGACAGUUGUUUGACGACCAACUGAGAGUCACUGUAAAUGAUCAGCUUCUGGACCUCUAGACUCUUCGCCAGUCGAACUCCUGCUAACACUGCUUCAUACUCGGCCUCGUUGUUUGUUGCUUUGAACCCAAAUCUGAUUGCUUGCUGCACCUUGAAUCCUUCCGGACUUGUCAAUAUAAUCCCUGCCCCACUAACAGUCGCUGUAGAGGAUCCAUCUGCAUACAGCGUCCAUGCACUCUGUCCCUGCUAAAGAACUGCAACUGCUCGAUCGGACGUCUCAGCUUCUGGCCGUUCAGCAUCUGCUUCGGUGAACGAGCACUCCACCAUAAAAUCGGCCAAGGCCUGCCCUUUGAUAGCGGUUCGGGGAUGAUACUCAAUGAAAAAUUGGGACAACUCCAUAGUCCACGCUGUUAAUCUCCCUGAAACCUCUGGCUUGCCCAUCACUUUCUUCAAUGGCUGAUCCGUGUAGACGACCAGGAGCCGACCUUGAAAAUAUUGCCGAAGCUUUCUACUAGCAGUUAUCAAAGCAAAAACAAAUUUUUCAAUAUUCGGGUACCUGGUUUCAGCAUCUCGUAGGACGUAACUGACAUAAUAGACCGGAUGCUGCUUCCCAUUGACCUCCCGAACCAGCACUGCUCCAACUGCCAACGAACUUGCUGCAAGGUACAAAUAUAAGGUCUCUGCUGGGGCAGGCUUCACCAAUAAAGGAGCAAAAGACAGAUGUCUUUAUGCCUUAGAAGGCGUCUUCACACUCCGAAGUCCACUGGAACGUCUUCGCAUUCUUCGGCCCCUUCAAUGUGUCGAAGAACGGCAAGCAUCUUUCUGCAGAUUUGGACAUGAACCUUCUUAAAGCUGCAAUCCUUCCAGUCAGACGUUGGACGUCUUUGAACGACUGAGGAGUCUUCAUAUCAAGAAUGGUCUGGAUCUUUUCCGGGUUGGCCUCGAUGCCCCUCUGACUGACCAGAUAUCCCAGAAACUUUCCUGCACCGAGGCCGAAAGUGCAUUUGGCCGGAUUGAGCCUCAGCUGACGAUGACGGACAGUCUGGAAAUAUUCCUCCAGAUCGUCCAAAUGCUUCUGAACCUGCAUGCUCUUCACGAUCAUGUCAUCUACAUAAACCUCCAUGUUUCUCCCUAGUUGCUUGUUGAAGACGAAGUUCAUCAUUCUCUGGUAAGUGGCUCUGGCAUUUAUAAGGCCAAAGGUCAUCUUCUUAUAGGCAUACACCGAACGGUGUGUAAUGAAUGCUGUCUUCGGAAUGUCCUCCCUGCACAUGGAAAUUUGAUGGUAACCUGAAAAACCAUCCAUAAAGCUUAGUAAUGCAUACCCCGAAGUGGCAUCGAUGAGCUGGUCGAUAUGGGGCAAAGGAUAAAAGUCCUUUGGACAAGCUUUAUUCAGAUCGGUGUAGUCGAUGCAAAUCCGCCAUUUUCCAUUCUGCUUCUGCACCAACACCACAUUCGCCAUCCACUCCGGGUAAUCAAUUUCAUAGAUGAAGUCAGCAGCUAACAGCUUUGCAAUCUCCUCAUCAAUGAUCUUCUGUCGCUCCGGUGAAAAAUCCGCCUUUUCUGCCGAACUGGCUUCUUCGAGGGAUCUACAUCUAGUCUGUGCUCAGCUAUCUUUCGGCUAACUCCCGGCAUGUCCUGUGGUUCCCAUACAAAAAUGUCCACAUAGCAACGAAGGAGCUCCAUGAGGUUUGUCCGAAGAGGUUCUGGCAGACCCGAACCAAUCUUCACUGUCUUUUCUGGCUUUCCAGGGAUUAGCUCAAUCUCUUCCGUCUCUCCUACAGGAAUUACCAAUGGCUCCGAGCUGCUUUCAGUGAAGGGCUCGAUCUCAAUUGCCAUGGUUUGUUUCUGUUUGCUGACCCCCACUCCGGAAGAUAUAACCGCAUUUUUAUAACAUCGUCGGGCCAGAUCUAAGUCCCCUGCCACUUCUCCGACUCCAUGUGCCGUGGGGAACUUGAUUUUGAAGUGAGGGAUGGAAGUUACCACUUGGAGAGCUGUCAGUGUAGGCCUUCCCAAUAUGGCGUUGUAAGCCGAAUCUACAUGCACAACAUAAAAUUUACAUAUUAUUUCUACCGGAUCGUUGCUAAAGCCAUAUAAAGGAGCCUCUUGCCCGACCUCCAUCUUCCGCCCAUCAAGAUGCAUCCUCUGAUAAGCAUGAACAUAUAAAAUGUCUACAGAAGACCCGUUGUCUAUCAUCAUGCGCUUCACAUCUACCGAACCCACCUGCGCUGUGAUCACUAACGCCCCCUCAUGCGGCUCGAUAGGCUCCGAAGGAUAAUCUGCAUCGGUGAAAUAAAUAACAGUCCCUGGAAAAGGUCUGUCGGCCUUCGGGGGAGCACCCGCCACGGACAUGACCGAAUCUAGAUAUCCUCUCCUCUUCUUCCCUACCAACUUCCCUGCCGUCCCGCCGGUUAUUACAUCAAUGACGUGCCUUGGCGGUGGUAUUGGAAUACUUUGGGCGGGUAGGACCGUUUGGACGGUCUGAACAGUACGAUCAGCAUUUUGCUGACCUUGUUGGUCCUUCCCGGCCACAUACUGAACCAGCAAACCGUUUUGAAUCUUCCUAUCUACGAAAUCUUUCAAAUUGCAACAUUUAUUAGUAUCGUGACCAGCGGCUUGAUGGUAGCCACAAUAUUUUCGGGUAUUGCCUUGCCCUGGCUUGAUGUGGUCACGAGGCGGCUCAUAGAAUGGCUGGUUCCUGAUCUGGUCCAAAAUUACCGACCUAUCCGUGUUCAGCUUGGUGUAAACCUUAUUCACCUUCGAGGCGGACGCAGGUGGACGACUACUCCUCUGUCGCCAUGAGUUAUUGAACUUCUUUGAACUGCCCUCUGGCCGAUCAUUAUAUCCUCCCCCCUUUCUCUGAUCGCCAUCUGCCUUAGGAUCAUCUGCAUCCUUUAACUGGUCCGAAGAAGAACGUUUCAGGCUAUUCAUAGCCUCCUCUACAACGAUAUAUCCUUCUACUUUGUCAAAAGCUUCUGCCAGGCUCUUCGGAUGGUUGAACAUCAACUUUUUCACCAACUUCUCGGACUUUACCAGAUCUAGGCCAUUCUGAAACAAACCUAUGGCCUGGAGAUCAUUGAGGUCGGACACCUGACCAACUGCUUCUCUGAACCUCUUCACAUAUUGACCGAAGGACUCGUUGGUGAACUGCCGGACCUGUGAUAAUGAACCAGUGGGCUUCCCUCUCCUUCGGUUACUCCCAAAGCGGGCAUGGAACUUAUCGCAAAGCUCGGUCCAAGAGGAAAUUGAAUCUGACGGCAAAGUCCCCAUCCACUGCCUCGCAUCUUUCCUCAAUGUCGUAACAAAUGUGUGGCACUUGGCAGCAUCAGUGAAAUCAUAAUAAUCCAUUAGCCGGUCGAACGCCUGGCUAUGGUCGUAAGGGUCCCCGGACCCAUCGUAACUCUCCAUACGAGGCAACUUCUUGGUGAUAUCUACCUUCUCCUUGAGAAUAUCCGAGGAAAAAGGGGAUGCCUUCCUUCCCGGAGUGUCCUUCACCUGUUGAACCUCAGCCAACUGCUUUCGGAGCUCUUUCAACUCCUUCACUAAAAAAUCAACACCUUCGGGCUGCGAGGAGACCUCUUUCUCCUGAACGACAUUCUGCCUCUGAGUGGAUCGACCUCCUCCUGCCGAUCCCAUUGCCCUUGUGGGGCUUCUGGAUCUACUCCGGCGUACAAUUUUGUCCUCAUGAUGAGAAUGGUCACGCUGAUGUUCUCUUCUUCUGGCUUCUGGCACGAUCUCCCUCGACCUGUUCCUUCGCUUGUCGUCGUCUCGAUGCUGAGAACCAACGACCACCAGUGCCUUCUUCGAGGCCACGGGAGUUCUGCUCCUCGAUCUCCUCCUACCGUGAGAACGAUCUCUAGACACAUGUGUAGAAUGCUCCGGCUCUUUAUCCUCUCGCCGUGGCAUCUCCUUAUGCUUACUCCGCCUUUCGGACUGAACAUGGCUAGAUGCUUUGUCCCUUAACUCCGCCACCCGAAGCAUCUGUUCGGCUAUAUCUUCUCUC